This 70011-nucleotide long non-coding RNA is filed under the name Ananas comosus (pineapple). RNAcentral's name for it is "long non-coding RNA (ACOM_LNC018165)". Lineage: Eukaryota; Viridiplantae; Streptophyta; Magnoliopsida; Poales; Bromeliaceae. The record is from RNAcentral.
UUUAAAUAUAUAACUCUUAUAUAUGUAAAAUAUAUGUUUAUUAUAAUUUUAAAUAAAUUUAAUCUAUAUAUAUAAAUUAUAAUAAUAAUAUAUAUAGUAUAUUAAUUAUUAUAUAUUUAUUAUAUAGCCGAAUUUUUGAUCCGGAAUUUUUAAUUGGUGAACGUAUAAUACCCGUAUAUAUUACGUAUCCGAAUAACUGUCGAAUCCAUUUUUUAGCCGUAUUUUUCAACGAAUUUAAAAAUUAAAAGACGAAUUUUAUCCGAAUUAUAUCUUUACUUAAUUUUUGCCGAAUCCGAAUUAACUAACUAUGCCUCCAGCCACUAAGAUUGAUUUAGCUGCGAUCGAUCUCAUCCGUUCAUCUGCUCGCUCCCAACGUGCUUAAUUAAUUAAUUGAUAUUUGAAGGGCAAAUAAGAAAAAUAUUUGGUAUAUGAAGGGUAUAUAAGAUAAGUGAGUUACGGUACGAGGGUAUAUUGGAAUGGGCAAAAUGAUAAUUUUUCAGAGAUAACAGCAGCUAACUGACGGAACUUAACUCCAGGGGUAUAUUAGAAAGACUUGGAACAUAAGAAGGGUAUUUUCAAUAUUAGCCUUCUAAGAGGGGUAAAUAAGAAAACCGGGAACUUUUCAGGGGUAUAUAGGCAAUUGCCCCAUAUAUAUAUAUAUAUAUAUAUAUAUAUAUGCUGGUCUAAUAUCGGUAGCACAGAGGCCUUUAUGCUACCAAGUUGUUUUCAAUGAUGCGGCAUUCAAAUCGACGAUCGGCUCCGUUAGACUUAAUAUAUAUAUACUAUUAAAAGUAUUUGGAAACUAAAUUUCAUAAUUUUUCGACAUUAUUUAGCUAGUGAUCAAAAUGUCUCAAAAUUGACAAUUUUAAUGGUAGAUGUGAUGCAUUUGUUAAUUUAACUGUGUAAAACAAUCCAAAUCUGAUGAAAAUUUUAUAGAAAAUUCUUUUCACUAUUUAGGAUAAGAUCAGUAUCUUUGAUAUUAAAUUCAAGUCUUUUAUCAUCAUUUUUUAUGAGAUUUUUAUUUUUAGCCGUUCAUUUUUAGACUACUCGUUUGAUAAGUAAAUGAAGCCGAAAAAUUAUGAAAUAUAGUUUCCAGAUACUUUCAAUAGUGUAGAUCAAGUUUAACGGAGCCGAUCAUCGAUUUAGAAGCUGCGUCAUUGAAAACAACUUGGUAGCACGGAGGCCUCCGUGCUACCGAUAGUAUACCAGACUAUCUCUCUUUCUCUCUGUCUCUCUCUCUCUCUCUCUCUCUCUCUAUAUNCUCUCUCUCUCUCUCUCUCUCUAUAUAUAUAUAUAUAGGUCGUGGCUACUAUACUAUUAUGAGUAUUGGAGCCCUCAUACUCAUAAGUUGUUUUCGAUGAUGGAGCUUCCGAAUCGACGAUCCACUUCGUCAAAUAUGAUCUAGAGUAUUUGAAACUUCUACUAGAAAAUAAAUUUCGUAAAUUUUCGAAAUCAUAAUAAAGUCCAUCAAGCGGGCAUAAAAUGAACGGUCAAAAUCGAACGACAUCCUAAAAAGGAUGGUCGAAUCCUUCAAUUUAAGAUCGGAGUUAUUGAUCUUUAUCUAGGUAGUGAAUAGAAUUUUCUAUCAAAAAUUCAACAAAUUCCGAUUCUUUUACACCGUUAAACUAGCAAGUAUCCCAUACUGGCCAUUAAAAAUUCUCAAAUUUGUGACCUCUUGAUCGUAAGGUAAAUGAUGUCAAAAAAUUAUAAAAUUUGAUUUUCUAGAAGUUUUAAAUGCUGUAAAUAACGUUUAAUGGUAUGGAUCGUCGAUUCAGAAGCUCUAUCAUCGAAAACGAUUUAUGAAUACGAGAGCGAUCGUACUCAUCAUAGUAUAGUAGCCGGACCAUAUAUAUAUAUAUAUAUAUAUAUAUAGUCCGGCUGGGAUACUAUCGAUAGCACCAUGGGUUUGGUGCUAUCGAGUUUUCCACCGUUAGAUUUAACCCUUUGAUUAUUUUUGCCCGUUAGAUUAUACUAUUCAACCAACUACCCACUCAAUCCUAGGGAGCCCACAUCAUCCUAAUCGCUUAUUUCUCAAUCCAAUGGAUAAAAAAUUGAUAGCAUUCCAACCUAGCUAUAUAUAUAUAUAUAUAUAUAUAGAGCAGGGCUGCUGUGCUCUCAGGAGCACGGAGGCCUCCGUGCUCCUGAGCCGUUUUCGAUGAUGGAAUUUUUGAAUCAACGAUCGGCUCCGUUAGACUUGAUCUAGCAUAUUUGAAGUUUCUAGAAAAUAAUUUUUGCGAUUUUUUGAUAUCAUUUACCUAGCGAUCGAAAGGAUUCAAAAUCCAUAAUUUUUAACGGUUGAUAUUUGCCGUUUUAUAAGUUUAACGGUGUUGAAGUAUUCAAGUCAGAUGAAAUUUUUGAUCAGAAAAUUCUUUAUCUUGUCGUACGAUAGUAUCAAUAAUUUUCUGAUCAAAAAUUUUAUCUGCUUUGAAUACUUCUUCACUUUUUAACUUAAAAACGGCAAAUAUCAACCUUUAAAAAUUAUGGAUUUUGAAUCCUUUCGAUCGCUAGGUAAAUGAUAUCAAAAAAUCGUAAAAAUUAUUUUCUAGAAACUUCAAAUGUGCUAGAUCAAGUCUAACGGAGCCGAUCGUUGAUUCAAAAAUUCCAUCAUCGAAAACGGCUUAGGAGCACGGAGGCCUCUGUGCUCCUGAGAGCAUAGCUGCCCUGCUCUAUAUAUAUAUAUAUAUAUAUAUAGCUAGGUUGGAAUGCUAUCAAUUUUUUAUCCAUUGGAUUGAGAAAUAAGCGAUUAGGAUGAUGUGGGCUCCCUAGGAUUGAGUGGGUAGUUGGUUGAAUAGUAUAAUCUAACGGGCAAAAAUAAUCAAAGGGUUAAAUCUAACGGUGGAAAACUCGAUAGCACCAAACCCAUGGUGCUAUCGAUAGUAUCCCAGCCGGACUAUAUAUAUAUAUAUAUAUAUAUAUAUAUAUAUAUAUAUAUAUGGUCCGGCUACUAUACUAUGAUGAGUACGAUCGCUCUCGUAUUCAUAAAUCGUUUUCGAUGAUAGAGCUUCUGAAUCGACGAUCCAUACCAUUAAACGUUAUUUACAGCAUUUAAAACUUCUAGAAAAUCAAAUUUUAUAAUUUUUUGACAUCAUUUACCUUACGAUCAAGAGGUCACAAAUUUGAGAAUUUUUAAUGGCCAGUAUGGGAUACUUGCUAGUUUAACGGUGUAAAAGAAUCGGAAUUUGUUGAAUUUUUGAUAGAAAAUUCUAUUCACUACCUAGAUAAAGAUCAAUAACUCCGAUCUUAAAUUGAAGGAUCCGAUCAUCCAUUUUUAGGACGUCGUUCGAUUUUGACCGUUCAUUUUAUGCCCGCUUGAUGGACUUUAUUAUGAUUUCGAAAAUUUACGAAAUUUAUUUUCUAGUAGAAGUUUCAAAUACUCUAGAUCAUAUUUGACGAAGUGGAUCGUCGAUUCGGAAGCUCCAUCAUCGAAAACAACUUAUGAGUAUGAGGGCUCCAAUACUCAUAAUAGUAUAGUAGCCACGACCUAUAUAUAUAUAUAAUAUUUUAAUUAUAUAUAGGCUGAGUGAGUAACUUGAGUUUAGUUUAAAUUGGGCCAAUAUAGCUGACUCAUAAAAACAAAUCUAAUAAACAAACAAAGCGGCAAAAUUUCACUAAAUUUACACCCUCUUCCUCUAUUUUUUUUUUUUCACAGAGCUCUAAAUUCCUAAUCUCUCUCUCUCUCUCUCUCUAUUUUUCUAUAUCUCACCCCAAAUGGUCAACUCUAAAGCCCCCAAAGUUACUAAGUAACAACACGCGCUCGCCGUUAACUAUUUUGCCAUUAAUUGUGUACUUGAAAAAUAUACAGAAUAUUUUUAAGGUAAAAAAUUAUUGUUUAUACAAAAUUUUGAUUUUAGUUAUAUAUGAUUGGAUAAUUUAAUCGAAUAUUGCCUAUAUAAAUUAUUCAUUUUUUGACAGCAUAAAUGAAAAGUAAUAAUAUGGAGAUUGAAGGCGGAAGAGAAGACACGCGAGACUGAAAAAAAUAGAUAUCCAACUCAUAAAUUUUUUUUUCAUAUUAUAAUAUUGUAUUUCAUAUAAUUAUUUUGUAUUUUGAAUUAUUAGACAUAUCUUCGUAUCAAAUUAUAUAUAAUAUUCUAUAUGAAUUAAACUAUUGAUCGUACGAUGUUGAGAAUUUCAAGCGGCUUGUUUAGGGCUCGAGCUCGCUCGACUCAAAAUUAGGCUUGCUCGAGCUCGGCUCGAAUUAAUUUCAAAUCAAGCUUGAGCCUAAAUUUAAGCUCUAAAUUGAUUUCAAGCUGAAUUUGAGCAAAGAUAAGCUCGCUCGAGCUCGGCUCGUUUCCACCCCUACUCAUUCUUGCUUAUUGGUAUCAGUUCAAAAUCCUACUCAUUCUUGCUUAUUGGUAUCAGUUCAAAAUCCACUAGCAAAUAUAUAUGAAAAUUUAAGCAAAAAUUGUUUAUAUUAAAAUAAAAUUCUAAAAUUCGAAUACAAGGUGAUUCGUCUCGUUUAUUAAAUUGUUUCAAUGAGAUGUUAAUUCAACAAAGUCGCAUUUAGGGAUGCAAAUGGGCGGAUCUGUGGGUAGGAGAGUCGCCUCGCCUCCGGCCCUCGCCAAUAUCGAAUCUGCCCCGCCUCAAGCCACGCCUUUGUGAUGGGUGAAAUAUAUCUCAUAACCUAUUGUGUUUAACAAUCUGCCUCUUGCUGGCACCCUGAAUUUGCUUCGUCGGUCCACAAUUUUUUACUUACAUUUAAAUUAAUAUAAUAAAAUUUUAAUUCUUUUAAUUAAAACAAAAUUUUAAAAAUAAUUAAAGUAUUAUAAAAGAAUCUCUCUUUUAAAUCACAUUUGCUUCAAAAAGAACUAACAUUUAAAGUUCAAAUAAUGUUUAAAAAAAUUAAAAGUUGUUUUUUAACUUCAAUACUUUUUCAGGACAGAUUUGGGGCGAAUUCGGGAUGAGAUUUGUCCAGAUAGAUUUAAGACCGAACAAAUUUUUUUCCCAUCUUACACCCGAACUGUUUCGGAUUAUAAUAAUAUCCCAAUUUACAGGCCCGAAUUACUUAAUUUGUUUAUUAAUCACCAUUAGGGAUGUCAAUCGGUCGGAUUCGGAGCGGAUUUUCAAAAAUCCAAAUCCGAACGCGAACCCAACUCCAAACCUGAAAUCUAAUUCAAACCUGAAUCCGACAGAUUUUAAAAAUUCAUAUCCAAAACCCGAACUCGACCAAAAAUUCGAAAUCCAAAUCCAAGCCCAAACCUGAAAUCCAAACCCGAAAUAAUUAUUUCUCUUUUCAAUAUUUUAAAAUAUAUUACAUUAAAUUUAAAAUUUUAAAAUACAAAUUCAAAUGUAAUAUAUAUAUAUAUAUAUACACACGAAGCACUUGGUGCUACCAAGUUUUCCGCCGUUAGAUUUACCCUUUUGAUCAUUUUCACCCGUUAGAUCAUACUAUUCAACCAACCACCCAUUCAACCCUAGGGGGCCCACAUCAUUCUAACCGCACAUCUCUUAAUCCAAUGGCCAAAAACUUAGUAGUACCAAUAUCUUGGUCCUAUUAAUAGCAUAGUAGUCUAGUUAUAUAUAUAUAUAUAUAUAUAUAUAUAUAUAUAUAUAUAUCCGAAACUAUAUCUAUUUAGCAUCAGACAAAUUUAUUAUGUUCGAGUUUAGGUUCGUAUAAAAUUUCGGAUAUCCGUAGUCAUGGACAUCCCUAAUCACCACUUCCCGUCCCAUUCGGAGGCAGACUGCUGCAGGAGCUCGGCCAACCCGAAUCCGUUUUCACUCGCGCUCGUCGAGAAGAGAUCCGAUUUGGUCUGUGCAGUCUAUCUUUGUUAACGCUAGCCUCCGCUCCGCCGUUUCGUGUUGGCUUCCAGUCUUUUCCGCGUCCUUGGUCUCGUCAGCAGCAGCAGCAGCAGCGGCGGCGGCAGCAAUGGAGGAAGAGGCGGCAUCACCACCACCGCCGCCUUCUCUAGCCCAAGUACUCGAAGCCGCUUCUGAAUUCGCUUCCUUCCCCGGUACCCAUCUCCCGAACCUUCCCGCUGAUUCAUCCUAAUACCAUCUCAUUUUUGUCUCGAUAUUUAGCUAACCACUUCUCGACCGAUCGUUCUUGUAGGAUCGCAGAGUGAUGAUUCAGUCAGAGAGUUCGUCGAUCGUUUUCCUCUUCCCGUGCUUUUUGGGUGAAUCUCUCUCUCUUUCGCUCCAGCUUUUCUUUAUUUUAAUAUGCUUGUUAUGGCACAUAAUCAUAUUAUUGCCUUACUUAUUUGCCUUAUUAGUAUGUAUUUUCUUCUUUUUAUGAUUGAUGCUGUAUUUGAGCAAUGACCUAAUAUUAAGGAUUUAAGUGUCCAUCGGCAUGGGCCAUAUUCACCGUGCUCGUAUCGUGCCAAUAAGAUAUCGGCACGAUACAGUUUCCGUGCUGAUGAUGUUGCUCAAAACUCUCUAAUUUUUAAAUUAGUAAGUAAUUUUUUCAAUAAAGUUCAAAAGAUUUAAUAAAGAUACAUAAGAAGCAAUUAGAAUAUUUUGUGGCUAAAGAAAAUAAAGAUUUCAUGCCAUCACGUGCCGGUACAUGUGUAUUUUUGUACACGGUCCGGCAUGCACCGUGCCGUAUCGUGCCAACAAAUUUUCGGCAAGACCCCGUGCCACCGCACUUAAAUCCUUGCCUAAUAUUAUUUGAAUUUUCUUCCUUUUCAAUCAUGUAAUUGUAAUACUGAAUGGGCUUAAUCUCCUGUUGAAUAAUAUGAAGCCUUAAUCAGUUUUAGGAUUUUUAACAUGGUAUCAUAGCUAGAGGUUGUGAGUUCGAAUCUCGCCAUACUUGUGGUCUUAUUUGAUUUUUUGCUCAUUUCAUUUAAGUCCUAUUUCUUGGGCCUAUCAAAAUAUCUCGACCUAGAUGUGAUGGGGUGAUGCAAACCGAGAGGUUGCCAAAAGUGAAUUUUCAAGUUUGCUUUUGUUUAAAGGUAAAACUAGGUUCAAUUUAUCAAUUCCGAUGAACUUUAAGCAAGGAAGCAAAAAUUUCAGUAAAACAAAAAUUAAAAUCGAAUUGAAGUAAUACUAAGAUGAUGAUAAACCUUCAAUAUAUGAGAUAAUAACAACCAACUGAAAAUAUAUAUAAUAGUUCCAAAAGGUAAAUUCGGCUUUAUCGGACUUAAAGCUUUAGGUUUGGUUGUUUGGCAAAUAUGGUUGGUAAUGGUGGAAUGCUAGAUUAAAAGGGGAUAAUAGGAUGUCAUGAGAUGAGAGAUACAAAAAGUGCACCGUUCACACGAUUGCGAGGGAUCCACGAUCGAUGAGGAGGGCGGUACACUACGGGUAGAACUUCGACAACGGGGAAGAAGAAGAUGAGGUAGUGACUCGGAAGAAGAGGAGGGGUAGAAGUAGAAGCCGAUAUUGUCACGAGGAAGAAGUGACAACGAUCAAGUUGAGGAAGAAGACGAUCUCGGCGCGAGAAAGAAGCGUCGAUGAUCUCACCGGGAAGUAGAGCACCAAGGAUAAAGAUUGAGAGUAGAAUUUUCUAUUCAUCCAAAUAUAUCCCUUAAGGCUUCAAGAAUCAUGUAUUUAUAGUGUUGAAAGCCCUCUGAUAAUAAAUUAUUGUCUUUUCAUGUUCAACACAACACGGUCACCCAAGAUUCAUGCAUAGAAAACGAAGCAACUUUGGGAAUUACAAAGGUCUUUCUUUUAUUUUUUUUUUUGGGGAAUUCCAAAGGUCAUUUUGGGAUUGUUUUUUUGUUUAUGGGAGAAAAGAGUUUGGAUUAGCCAAAUCAACUAAAACCAAAUAAUUUAAGUCCGAAUCAAACACGAAUCUACAAAAUAAAAGAAAAUUGUAUUUGAAAAUAAAACGAGAUUUAUUUGCUGCAUCAUGGGGGGUGUUGGAGGUAAAUAUUAAAAACACUAUUUUUUGACAGUUUAAGUGUUUGGAGAUAAACGGUUACUCUAUAGUUUCUCAAAUUAAAGGUACCUAGUAGAACCUUCAGCAAAAAGAAAGGGUAAAGGUGCAUAGACCUUUCCAGAACUAUAGUGCAUUUUGAAACGGCAAAAAAAAAGGGUAAAGAUGCAAUAGAUCUUACCUAAACUACAGUGUAUUUUGAAAUGGUUACCUGAAUUUUUAAAAUUUUAAUUUUACUAUCUAACCUUACAUUCAUUUUAUUUUAUGAGCAAUUCUGAAAAACUACUUUUUCCAAUUCUGUUAGAAUUUAGCGAUGAUUAUCAAAAUACUUAUAGAAUGUUUCUUCAAAUGGAUGAAACAUUAUAUUAGAUUGCAAAUAUUAUGCCAAAGAAAUGAAAAGUACUGUUAAUUUCUGAUUGAAAAUACUAAAUCAUUUGUAUUAUAAUUUAUAAGAUUAGCUCAUAAAAUCAACAUUUGUAAGUUCAAGAGUGUCUCAAAAUGCGUCAUGCUUUCUAUAAGAUUAAUACAUUUUUUACAAUACCAAAAGAAAAAUCUGGAGCUUUUGGUGUGGCAUGAAGCCAAAAAGUGAGAUUGAGAACCGAAAAGCUCCAGUUUGGUGCUUUUGAUUUUACUGUGGGAAGAAUCUGGUGGGGACAUAUUAGUAAACUGCUUGUCCUAAUCUCAUUAAGGCAGCCCUUCGCCACUUUGUAAACAACACUACACCUGCAGAAGGCCCAAAUAGACGCUAAGCAGAUUUUUAAUUCUGGGUUUUCUCGAUAGGAGUCAUAGGAUGGCUUUGCAUUACAUAUCAGCAAAAAUGUCUAUACCUAACCUGAAAUAUAGUGCAUUUUGAAAUGACUAAUUGAACUAUAGAAGCCUUUUUAAGUGUAUCUGGAGUUACAUUCAUUUGUUCUCUAAGAAAUUCUCAAAGAAACUUUAUCAAGUUCUAUUAGAAUUAAUGAUUUUUUAUUAAAGUACUUGAUAGAGUGUUCCAUCAGAUGAUAGAAACAUAAUAUUAGAUUAGAAAAUACUCUAUCGAAAAAGUCAGAAGUACUGUCAAAUUCUGAUGGGGAAAUACUAAAUCAAUUUUAGUGUAAGAUUAGGUAGUAAAGUCAACAUUUUUGAAGUUCAGGUACCUGUUUUAAAAUGCGUCGUAGUUCACAUCAAGUCAGCACAUUUUUGCCUUACAAAUAAGAAUCCUGACACUGGAUAGUAGAUUAAAUUUAAGACUGGUGAUAGAGAGUGUACAAAGGGGUUGAAUAAUACAGACAUGAAGUGGCUUCAUCACUACUGUUGAAAAUGUAAAUAGGCUGUUGUGACAUGAAUUUGACUACUUGUUUAUUGUGUGAUUACCUUAAUUGCAGUGUGUUGCAAGGUGAGGUAUAUGUACCUGGAGUGGAGGAUACUAUUGUUGCCUGUUUAGACAAAAUCUUCAAGACAAAAUAUGGUGCUUCUCUUCUUCCAAACUUUGCUGUAUGUAUCAGUAUAAUUACUUAUGCUUCUAUGUUUCUUUUUCUUUUCAUUUUCCUUUUUGCAUUUGAUUACUUAAAGACAAAAUCUUCAAGACAAAAUAUGGUGCAUCUCUUCUUCCGAACUUUGCUGUAUGUAUCAGUAUAAUUACUUAUGCUUCUAUGUUUCUUUUUCUUUUCAUUUUCCUUUUUGCAUUUGAUUACUUAAUCAUUAUGAACGGAGCAGUUUAGUUUUCGAUCAAUAGCUUGAGUGGAAAAGGUAGCUAAACGUAAUAUUCACUUGUCAGAUUUAAAUAUCAAAUUUUAGUAAAUGCUUAUUUUAUUUUUUAUGGUCGUCAUAGAAACUUAUGAUGUUUGUAAACAGUCCACCUGAUGAAUUUAUGCCUGAUGUCCAGAAUUUUGAUAUCUAAUAUAUACUUGUAGAACUCAUUGAACUUACUAACUGGAAAAAUGUCAAAAUUAUUGGAUUUAGAAAUUCUUAGGGCAAGGUUUGUCUUUCCAUGUUUUACUUAAUUAUAUCAGGCAUGAUCGGUAUAUCAUUCAGAGCUAGUGGGUGAAUAUUAAAAAGGUGAUGUCCUUUAUAUUCUCAAAAUUUAGAUCACUCUUAACUGCCCCUCUCCUUUCUAAACUCAGAGAUUUUCCAGACAGAAAUUACUUUUUGUAUAAACUUUUUUGUAGUAGCAAGUUUUUCUUCUUUCUCCUACAUUUGGAUUGAACUUUUUAUCUUAUUGUUUCAUUUAUUAUUCUACUGAGUUAUUAUAAAUUUAAUAAAUUUAUUAGAUGUAUCAAAUACUUGUAUCACUUCUUUACGUUGAUUACUGUUUUUCUCUUUCUUUCUCCAGCCCUUCAUACAAGCUGGACUGCAGGCCAACUCCCAAGCCAUCAGAUGCUUGGCUUGUAAAGCUGUAUGUUUAAUUGCAAGUGAUUUUCUUUGAUUUCUGUUUGGAAACCUUUCUGUCUGAAUCUCUAUUUAAUAUUGACAAGCUAUUUUAAGAGCGUUUUGUCAUUUCUCUGAUCUCUUUUGUUACUCCAAGAAGAAUAUAGGUAUCUACUUUGCCAUGAUUCCAUCUUAUGCACGCCGCAGAUAGUGGUGUUGGUGACUUGUCCAUGUUUUGGUUUAAAUCUUUUCUUAUUUUAAGUGCACCAGAAAACUUAUUAAAAAGGGACUUGUACUCAUAUAAUUGGGCAAUAAUCACCCCCUACAUAUAUCCCCUGCUAGAGUGUAAACUUUUGUGUAUACCUCCCUUAUUUUAAGGUGGGGAAAUUAUUUAAUUGAUGGGGGCAAGAUUUGUUCUGUAUUAGGAAACUAUAUGUCAAGGAUGAUGCUUUUUGCAACUACAAGGGUAUAUUUGUAAGAAGUUGAGUUUAUCGAAAUUGUCAAUAAAAAUUUAGAUUUUGCAAGGAUAUGUUGGUUAAUAGAUAUUUUUUCAGUGGUAUAUAUGUAAAUAUAUCUAUUGCCUUAGAACUGCAAAGUUUGUUGUCCGGGAGGCUUGAACCUGAAUGGUACAUUCUUUUCAUCAAUUCCUUACAUCAGAAAAUUCUUGGCAUUUUGCAUAUGGUUUCACGUAGAAGCUAAGGCAAAUAAUGAACCUAGCACCACGUACCUUGUUUACAGUAGGAUCAUUUCCAUCAUUUGUAGCCUGAUGUAUUCUAUUGAGCUGUACCUCUUUAGUUAUAGCAUUUGCACUUUAUGCUCAGCUGCUACACGAAUUAUUCAAGACGAAAAAGAGACACUGGGAAUCUGAAUGGCUCUUUCAAUACUGGAUUGCUUUAUUAGAGCUAUUGUGCCACCUUUGAAGGGCUUAACGAUGCUUACUGGAACUUGGUUCUUGAUUGCUCAAGUCAACUGGUGGAUAUAUUUUCGCUAUGGAUAUCUGCAGAACAUUGAGAUGGAAGAAGUAUUAAUUUUCUCUAAAUCCUUGAUGUAGUUAAGGUUCGUUGUACUAGCUAUAGCUGGUCCAGGCUAGAGUGAUAUCUUGUUGGACAGUGACUAGGAUGUUUCAUUGUGCCUUUAUCAAAACAAGAUCUGAUGGUAGAACUUCAUUAGAACACAUUAUAGCUAAAAGUUUAUGAACCAAAAUGCAACUAGAUUAAUAGUUUGACUACUGGCAUAAUUUACCUUAGCUCAUUUACAUUGACUUUUACAAUUAGUAUACGGGACAAGUUUGAAAGUACUGCAGUCUAUAUCAUGAUUUAGGUCUUGUUCAAAGUACUCAUUUAACCUUGUGUUUCCAUCAGGUGUCCUAUCUUCUUGAUAAUGCUGACAAUUAUGGAGCAGCUGAGCAGAUUAUUAUUGGAUAUAACAUAUACCCACUUCUUCUUAACUGUCUGAUUGAGGGGUAUCAACCUUUUCAUUUGCUUUUAUAACAAGUUCAUAUUUUCAGCCAGUUUUUAUUCUGUCUUCUUAUGCUCUUAGUCUUUACAACAAGUUAGGUUAUUCUUUCUUAUUUUAUGUCUAAUUAUAAUAAUUUUUACAACAUGCUGGUGCUUAUUUAUUGAAUCAUGGAUGCUGGACUACUCUGUCAACUGUUGAAAUAACAUAUACAAAUAUAAGGUUUCUGGCCAUAACUCUAGGAAAUUAUCAUUUAUGGGCCAUUGGGCCCCUGUUUUUCAAGGGAUAAAUAUCCAAGCAAACACUCAUCAAAGGAUAAAUAUGCAAAUAGGAACUAUUUUUAGUGCAGCAAAUAAUGUUCACUCCUGAUUAAUUGAUUAUCCUACUCCAGUAAAAUCCUUUGUGCAUAACAUGUAAGCAUCUUUUAUGUUUUUGAAUCUACGCAUACUGAACUGUGUAUCCAUAUCUUUGUAACCUGUGGGGUCCGUAGAUGAUAAACCAAAUUCAUUAGUAGUUAUCCAUCCUACUUUAUUUGAAUUCCCUCUCAAUCAGUUAUGCCUACAACUUAUGUAUGACUAAUUUGGCAAAACGAAGUUAAAUCUUACAAGAUGUAUAUGUCGAAAGUAUCUUUUGCGUCUUGAAUCUAAAGGCUCUCCAGUGUUGCAUUGUCAACAUAUUAGAAUCGUCUUAUAAGGCACAAAAUGCUGCAUUGAUUUGCAUGAUCAAUACUUAAUUUGCAAUUUACUUUGAUUCCCAUAUUCUGUGUCCCAUUUGGCUCUCCAAAGUUUUUAUUUGAUAAUUUUAAUGUCGUUUGAUAUACAUUAAUUGAUCCAUCUGCAUUCGAAGAGUAGAUUAGUUUCAUCUGAAAUAAAAAGUGAAAAUGAUAUAUUUUUUAUUUUCUAAGCUAGUUCAUAAGCGAACUUGGACCUAUGAUAGGUGAACUUUGCAUAUUAGUAACAACACUUGGACCUAGAACUUCACAGUUGCUACUUGAGUAAUAGAAGCUAUUCAAGUAUAACAAUAUCUCUACAUUUGGUCUUACAAUUAACAAGAAAUUAGGGGUGAAAAACGGAUCGGAUAAUAUCCGGCUGUUUCCACAUCCGUAUUUGAUUUCAUCCACAUCCGAAUAGGAAAUAUCUGGGUCUGGUUGGAUACGGAUGCAGAUAUGGUCUCAAAGAGUUCAAAUUGCCCGAAUAUUUGAAAAUAUUGGAUACAAAUCAGGAUAUCCUGAAGUUUAUAUAUGUUAUUAACAAAAUAUUGUGGAAAAAUAAUUGAUAUUGGGUUGUAGCUGACAUCGUAAAGGGCUUGCCUUGCACGUAAAGGGUUCAGGUUGGAUUCUCCUCACCCCCUUAAUAUUUUAAAGGGUAAAAUGUACGGAGACCCCUUGAACUUAAGCUUAUUUGCAAACAAGUGCCUAAACUUUCAAUUUUGGCAACCUGAAAAUUUAUCGAAUAGUUCAAUAUACCCCUCUUUCAAUUAAAGUUAUUAAUUACACAAUUGUUUGGGUAUGAUAUAUUGCAUAUAGUUUUUAUAAAGCUUCAAAACAUAAAAUAAUUAUUUUUUGUAUUCUAACAUACAAAAAAGCGAAAAAAUUGAAGCACAAUUGAACUUAUUCUUCCAUCAUCAUGCUUAAUUAUCAAAAUUGGAAGAGAAAAAAAAAAGAUUUUGUUUUUUAAGUCUUACAGAAUAAUGUGCACAACGUCUAAUCAAAACGGCUGUAAUAAUUAUUAAGUUCACUUGAGGAGGGGGGCCUAUUGAACUAUUGGAUAAAGUUUAAGAGGCCUCUUUACCAAAAUUGAAAGUUCAGGCUCCUGCUUGCAAAAGAGUUGAAGUUCGGGGGGUCUCUACACAUUGAAGUUCGGGGGGUCUCUACACAUUAUUUCCUAUUUAAAAUUUUAUUUAACAAUUAUUUAAAUUUAAACAUAUAUCAAAGUUUAAAUUAUAAUCCCAUAUUUGAAUUUAAAAUAUAGAUUCAAAAUUUAAAUUUAAUUUUUAAAAUUUAAAAUUUAAUAUAUGUUUAAUAUUUAAACUUAGAUAUAGUUUUAAAUUUUGAGUCUUUUGACUUUGAACUUGAGUUUGAUUGUGAAUUUAAAUAGUAAAUUUAAAUAUAAUUAAAUUUUAGUUUUUUUAAAUUUUAAUUUGAACAUGAUUUAAUUUGUGAAUUUUGUAUAUCAUUUUGAAUUCAAGUAUAAAGUGAAACUUAAAUCAAAAUUUAUAUUUAAAUUGUGAAUUGAAAUUUGCAUAAGAGAUUUGAACACAAAAUUUAUAUUUAGAUUAAAAUUUCAUAUUUAUAUUUUGAAUUGUAAAUUCUAUUUUAAACAUUUUUUAUGGGCAAUUAAAUUUUCCUUAAUGAAAUAAUAAUAAUGGGUUGAUUAUGAUUAUGAUUCCUAUUAUUAACCAAACAAAUUAGGAGAUUUUGUCAUUCCAUUUUCCAUUUCGAUCUGUUCUGAUUCCUAUUCCGAUUUCCAUUUCUAUUUUGAACCAAACAUGCUCUUAAAUUUAUUGAAUAAGAUAUAGGCAUAUAAAGUUUGAACAGGACUGCAUAUAAAGUUUGAAUAGGACCGCAAAAAUUUGAUUGCACUGUGUCUUAUUCACGUUAAUUCUAGUUCAUAUUCCUUUGUGCAUAUUAAUGCAAGGAUUUAAAUGCCCAUCGACAAAGAUCAUAUCCACUGUGCCGUAUCGUACCAACAAGAUAUCUACACGAUACAGCCCUCGUGUUGAUGGCGCAGCUCAAAACCCUCUUUUCUUUAAAUUAUUAAGUUUCUUAAUAAAGUUCAAAAUAUUUGAUAAAGAUACAUAAUAAGCAAUUAGAAUAUUUUGUUGUUAAAGAAAAUAAACAUUUCAUGCCAUUAUGUGUUGGCACAUACAUGUAGUUUUUGUGACCGGCGCACAUCGGCACGGCCAAGCACACACAAUGCCGUACCAUACGGGCAAGUUUUCAGCAUGACCCUAUGCCACGACACUUAAUUCUUUGUAUUAAUGUAUAUUAGUAUCUGAAUAAUAUUUGAAUACAAAUUCAAUCCAUAUCCGAAUCUAGAAAAAUAUCCGAUUGUAGUCGAGUCCAUUUUAGUAGAUAUGGUAAUAGAAAUUUAGUAUUCGAUAUAGAUCUGCAUCCAAAUCCGUAUCCGGGAAAAAAAAUGCGGAUAUGGUUUCGUCAAAUAUCCGACCGUACCUGAUCCUUGUUCAGCCCGACAAGAAAUAGGGCAUGAAUGGAGGGCAAAAUCUGCAUUUAUUAUUUUUAUGUUCACUCCAUUCUUCCCUUGAACUUCCACACCCUUCAAAAUAAGAACUUUGACAGCCCUAAAACAAUGACAACUGUAGAAGGGCGAAUAUAUACAUUGGCUAAUUGAAGUUUCUACAUGUCCGCUUAGGCGCUUACCAUCAUCCGUUAGUUAGGUGUCGAUUCAUCUUCCUUUAGAUCAUGACAUCUUUUGAUUGAGCAUUAAAUCGCCCUUGUCUCUAUGGAAGUAAGUUAUAUAACAGAUAGUUUUUUUUUUCCUUCAUCUUAUAUUGUUUGUAUUGAGCUUUCUUUCUAUCCUAAAUUGCACUUAGUAAUGGCCCUUGAACUGUAUUAUUACAGUCCUCAUCUAAUUUGCCAGCUCUCCAUCACUUUUUAUUCUAAUAAACUUUAAACAUUCUGAGUUCUGUAUCUUGUCACCACAGAAAUGAACAAACUUCAGCAGCUUCUCUGGAUGCCAUAAAGAGAAUUGCUGAAGUUCCAGAAGGAAAAGUAAGAAUGUGGAGGAUUUGAUUUGUACAGUACAUGUGCACUGUAUCUGCACCAUAUUAAUCUGAGGUUUGCAUUUCUCCUUUUCUUUUUAGAGUAUCAUCUUUCCAACUCAUGGGGAAGGAUCGAUGCAACUAAAAAACUUAGCAGCUCACUCCUCGUCUCUGGUAUGUUGUUUAUCUGUUAAAAAGAUUUAAAAUUUACAGUUCAUUAAGGUCUCUUUUAUCAGGCUUAAUUUUUACUACUGUUUGGAGCUAGUUUUAUUUGUCUUUAUUAAUUGCAGUAAAUAAGGCUAAAGUUUCAUCCUUCAACAUUUUCUAACUGGAGUAAAGCAACUUUUCUGUGUUGUAUACUUGUAUAGACAAUGAUUUUAAUUCUGUUUCAGGGUACUCUUGCUGGAUCCCUGGAUAUCUUCAAGAAAUGCUUUUUCCUUUUUAAUUGUUUCCUACCAACUAAUAAUAUGCAAACUGAUCUGACAACUGAGAUGUUAUAGUCCUUCACAGCAUUAAUUUCCUUUUUUUUGGUUGUUGUGAUGCGACACAAGUUAUUCAUAGCAUGAGUUACAAAAUGAACUCCAGUGUUGAUACUUUGAAAUUUUCAAUCGAUAUUUAUCCUCUGCAAGAUUUGCAGAAAUUUAGAAUACCACCUUUGAAAUUAAUUUUUUUGCAUCUUCAUUUUUCCCCCUCUACUUGAUCACCAUAUUCAUAGCAUGAGUUACAAACUGAACUCUCAGUCUUGAUACUUUGAAAUUUUCAAUUGACAUUUAUCCUCUACAAGAUUUGCAGAAAUUUAGAAUACCACCUUUGAAAUUAAUUCUUUUGUUUCUUCAUUUUCCCCCCUUUACAUAAUCAAAUACUUUGCACAUUCUAAAUCAGUUUUGCAUAACAUGAUUUAAUCCAGCACAUUCCUGUGCUGUUAUAAUGGUAACUCUACUAUUCUAUGAGGAAAACCAUUGUUUAUCUGUAGCUUUUCUCAAAAAAGUGAUUCUUGUUAAUACCUUUUCUAUUAUUUCCCUGGAUUGAUUGGAGCUUGUAUGAUAUUUUUAUGUAUUUACUAAGAUGCUUUCCUUAAGCAGUUAUCUUUCAUACUUGAAUGCACUUCCUGAAGUUUUUCAUUGGAUUUUCUAGGCUCGGAUUCGAAUUUUAGCUCUCAUAGCAAAACUGUUCUCAGUUUCUAGUUCCGUAGCUACAGCAGCCUACGACUCAGACCUGCUUAGUUUAUUUGAGGCGGAAAUUAACAACAGGCGCGACAUGCUCACAACUCUGAGUGCUUUGGAGCUUCUUUAUGAGGUAAGAAUUUCAUCCUGUGAUUAUCUAUUGUUUUUUUGCAUGUAAAGCAAAUUAGUUAGUUUUUUAAUAUAUUUAUGGUUACAUUGGCUUUCUUAUUUAACUGUUCUUUUCAUUGGAAUGACAUCUGAUUAGGCUGCUUGAAUAUGUAAUCUUAGGUUCUCAAGAUGUUUAUUAUCUACGGUUGGAUUGAAGUUGAACUAAUUUCAUCCAUUUCUUUUAAUCCCCAAGAUCCAAAGAAAAAUCCAUUAAUGUCCAUGCAAUAAUAUACAGUAUAGAUGCGCCAAAUGCAUACACACACAAAUAUGUAAAUAUUUAUAGAGAACUUUUCCUUACAACUUUGACAUUUCAUUUAGUUGUUUAAGAUCUCUAUUAAAAUCAACUAUAAGCUAUCUAAAUUGGUAUAAACAUUUUUUGUUGUAUUUGCGGCACCCCAAAAUAGUCCCAUAUCGUAUAUUUUAAGUGUUUGAGGGCCAUAUAUGUGAAUAGUAUAGUAAUGCUAGUAAUUUGGGCUUAAGUAUUUUGGGCGGGUGAGUUGAACCCACCGAGUAGCUAAUACUAGUGGCUAGUUGGGUCGUUACAUAUGAUAUUAAAGCCAAGUUACCAAUCCCUAGGAGCUACCUCUAGAAUCUCACAUUGCUUGAUGGUCUUGAAUUAUGUGUGAUUGUGCCUAACAAGGAUGUCAAGGUCUAGAAAGAGGAAAGUUUGUGGUUUCCCUAUAGUAGGCCCAUAUUGGAUAUUACUAUUGUGUUUGAGGGCCAUAAAUACAACUAGUACAUUAGUGCUAGCAAAGUUUAAGCAUUUUGAGCCAGUGAGUUGGGCCAAUAAAGUAACUAAGACUAGUGGGUUAGUCGGGUCAUUAAAAUAAUCUGCAAAGUAGCUACUAUUAGACUACUAGUGGGCAAGUCAGGCCAUUAAAGCACUCUUAUUGGAAGCAAGGGUUAGCGUCUGUUAAUCUGUCCUAUUUUCAUCAACUUUAGCAUCCCUGAUGCUUGGAAGAAGUGUGAUUAUUACAUUGCUUUUCCUGUAUUGGUGGGCAUGAUGAUAGUAGAACACUAUAUAUUGAAGAUAAAUUAUGUACUUGCAAAUGAAACAAAAUAGACUAAGGGCCUCCGAGUAAUCUGUUGCUUUUAGCAUUCUUGAAUCUCGAUAUACCAAUUGUAUCAUUGGAGUGGUUUGUUUAUGUUAAAAAUUCAAUUUUAAAACUGUGAUUGUGGAUGUUUGGCCGUGCGGUGCGCACCACAUUCACGGUGCGGCCCGCAGAGCGCGAAGUUUGGCGCUUGUGGUUGCGUAUGGAUCUCCAUGCAUAAUCACAACGCGAAACGCAGAGGAUGUGGCCCACUCAUGAACCUCGGUAGAGAUCCCUCUCUGAGAUCCACCUCGAUUUCUCUCCCCCCUUAUCCUAGACUUUUUUCAAAAGUAACCCUGUGAAAUUUGGUAAUUGGGGAAAUAACCCUAUAAAAACCAAAAUUAGCAAAAUAAUCCUCUCUUCGCCACGUUGGAGCCACGUCAGAUUGUCACUCUGAAGACGGUGAAUCGUUCACCGCUUGCAGAGAAGGCAGUGAAUGAUUCACCAUCUUUGUGAUAUAACUUACAAAGGCUGUCGAUGAUUCACCGUAUUUACCAUUCACCGCCUUUAGUAUAAACACCUCCGAACUGGUUAAUUUAGGGUUUAGAUGGGUGUGCAAAGUGGUUAGUUUAGGCAUGGGUGUGCGAAGUGGGUUAAGUACACAUAAGACGGUAAAUGAUUCAUCGUCUUACUGAAGACCGUGAAUCGUUAACCAACUUCAUUGAAGACAGUGAAUCGUUCACCGCCUUUUGUGCAAGCUCUUUUUUUAUAAGUAUUUAACGGUAAUUUUUACAAGUUAGGAACAUCAAUUUGCACGACAACAAAAAUUUCGACAAUAAAGUUCAAAGAACAACAAGAUAUAACCAAUUUGGUAAGAAUAUCAAUAAAAACACAAAGUUUGUAAAAAUAUCAACUAAAUAAAGAGGUAUAUAAUAUUGCACAUGUUAUAUAAACUGUUCGAUCCAAAUCACAUAAAUGUUAGCCUCGAGAUCUUCCUCUCCCUCGACGUCCUCGGCCAUGUCCGCGUGCACGUCCAUGUCCACGUCCAUGUCUACGCCCAUGAUCAACAUCGAGCUCAACAGGAGGUACAUCAUAAAGUGGCUCGAUACUUGCCAUCUGAUCGAGAUCCUCGAUAAUGAUGCCCCCACGAUGCUCUGGAAUCGCCCGAGUCUUCUCUGCCACAGGAAAAGCAAUGUAAUAAUCACACUUCUUCCAAGCAUCAUGGAUGCUAAAGUUGAUGAAAAUAAGACAGAUUAACAGACACUAAGCCUUGCUUCCAAUAAGAGUGCUUUAAUGGCCUGACUUGCCUACUAGUAGUCUAUAGUAGCUACUUUGCAGGUUAUUUUAAUGACCCGACUAGCCCAUUAGUCUUAGCUACUUUAUUGGCCCAACUCACUGACUCAAAAUGCUUAAACUUUGCUCGUACUAAUAUACUAGUUGUAUUUAUGGCUCUCAAAUAUAUCCAAUAUGGGCCUUCUAUAGGGGAACCACAAACUCUCCUCUUUCUAGACCUUGACAUCUUUUUUAGGACAUAAUUCAAGACCAUCAAACAAUGUGAGAUUCUAGAGGUAGCUCGUAGGGAUUGGUAACUUGGCUCUAAUACCAUAUGUAACAACCCAACUAGCCACUAGUAUUAGCUACUCAUGGGUUCAACUCACCCGCCCAAAAUGCUUAAGCCCAAAUUACUGGCAUUACUAUAUUAUUCACAUAUAUUGCCCUCAAACACUUAAAAUAUACAAUAUGGGACUAUUUUGGGGUGCCGCAAAUACAACAAAAAAAUGUUUAUACCAAUUUAGAUAGCUUAUAGUUGAUUUUAAUAGAGUUCUAAAACAACUAAAUUAAAUGUCAAAGUUUUAAGGAAAUGUUCUCUAUAAAUAUUUACAUAUUUGUGUGUGUAUGCAUUUUGCGCAUCUAUACUGCAAAUUAUUGCAUGGACAUUAUUGAUUUUUCACAAUGGACUAUUCACAUGCAUGCAUUUUGCGCAUCAUAUUAUAUAUUAUUGCGUGAGCAUGCACGCGGACGUGGCCAAGGAUGCCAAGGGAGAGGAAGAUCUUGAGGCUUACAUUUAUGAUCUGGAUCGAACACGUUGUAUAACAUGUGCAAUACUAUAUACCUCUUUAUAUUUAGUUGAUAUUUUUACAAACUUUCUGUAUUUUUACUGAUAUUCUUACCAAAUUGGUUGUAUCUUGUUGUUUUUCGAACUUUAUUGUUGAAAUUUUUGUUGUCGUGCAAAUUGUUGUUCCUAACUUGUAAAAGUUACUGUUAAAUUACUUAUGAGAAAGGAGCUUGCACUAAAGACAGUAAACGAUUCACCCUCUUCAAUGAAGAUGGUUAACGAUUACCGCCUUCAGUAAUACUGUGAAUCACCGUCUUAUGUGUACUCAACCUACUUCGCACACCCAUCCCUAAAUUAACCACUUCGCACAUCCAUCUAAACCCUAAACUAACUAGUUCGGAAGUGUUUAUACUAAAAGGCGGUGAAUGAUUUAUCGCCUUUAGAAGACCGGUGAAUCGUCCACCGCCUUUAGAAGGCGGUCGUAAGUCAUAUUACGAAGAAGGUAAAUCGUUCACCGCCUUCUCUGAAAGCGGUGAAUGAUUCACCGUCUUCAGAGUGACAAUCUGACGUGGCUCCAACGUGGCGAAGAGAGGGUUAGUUUGCCAAUUUUGGUUUUUAUAGAGUUAUUUUCCCAAUUACCAAAUUUUACAAGGUUAUUUUUGAAAAAAGUCCCCUCAUCCUCCUCUAGGCUGGGGCUCUCUCUCUCUCAUUAUCAUCUCUCUCUUUCUCUCUACCUCUUCAUUCUUUUUUUCCUAUAGGCUUGGGGGUGGGGGCAAAGUUGUGAUGCCCACAACUGUCAUGGCCCUCAAAAUUUUAAAAAUUACACAUAGACCUCUUAAGUAAUUACCAUAUUACAGAUUAUAAUAUUAUAAAUCUUAGCCGUUCGAAGCGUCAAAUUAAAAUUUUUUCUUACAAAACUUGUGGACCACGACGAUUUUUCCUUGCGAAGUUUUUCUUACAAAACUUUAUAAUAAUCUUAUUAAGAGAAAUAUAUUGUGUUUGUUUGGCCUCUUAAAAUUUAAAAAAUUGCAUAUUAGUCCUUAAUUAAUUAGGUGCAUAAAAGAAUAAAAUAUUACAAAUUUUAAUCUCUUAAAAUUUAAAAAUUGCAUAUAAGUCCUCAAUUAAUUAGGUGCAUAAAAGAAUAAAAUAUUACAAAUUUUAAUCUUUAAUGGGGCUAAAUUAAAAUUCUUUUUACAAAAUUCGUGGGUCACGAAAAAGUUUUUCCUAAAAAAAAUUUCCUUGCAAAUUUUUCGUUACAAAAUUUUAUAAUAAACUUUUUUAAGAUAAGUAUAUUAUGUAUUUUUGGCCCCCAGCAAUUUUAAAUUCUGGCUUAGCAGAGUGGCGGGCUUUGGCCAGGGGGUAACGGGUUCGGCGGUGUGUUGUGGCGGUGAGGGUGAGGGAGCAGUAGGGCAAAGCGGCGUAGGCUUUGGUGACGCCAGAGCCGACGCCGCCAAAUUAUUUUAUUUUUUUCUGCACUCAAAUAAAUUUUUAAUUAGAUUAGAUUAUUUUUAAAUUUUAUUUUUUUUAUUAGAUAUUUUUUAAUUAGAUUAUUUUUUAAAAUAUAUAUUUUCUAUUAGAUAUAUUGAAUAUAUUUUAUUAGAAAUAUUUAAAAUAAUAUUUUGGUAGUAUUUUAUAAUUUAGAACAUUCUACAGUGAUUUUCAAAUAGAUAUUAUCUAUAGCAGCGUUCAAUUGCAAACAAUACUUGUAUGACAAAAUUAUCAUACACUCUACAGCUUUUUUAAACAGCACAAUACUAUAUCCUAUAUCACUUCUAGUCUUCUACAACACUAUUUUUUACAGCUUGGCUAAAACAGGCUCAUUAUUCUGAACUUGGAAUUUUUUAUGGUAGUUAUAGAAGUCUUUUAAUGAGUAUUAAUUUUUCUAAAAAAUUAUGGGUCUUUUAAUGGUAUUUGUGUUUUUUUUAGAUUGUGUAAAUAUGAUUCUUAUCCUCAUUAGUUGCAUGCCUUGUGCCUUCUACGACCAUGGUUUCAAGUUGGUUUUAAUUACAACUUUUAGCAGUUACUUGCCAGUGCAUAAAGCUUAUUUCAGUUACAGCAGAAUUAGAUGUAUGCAUUCGAUAUUAUCUUUCUCUGUUGGGUUGAUGUAGCUUUAGUUCUUGUGAAUUUGAUAGUCCUGACCUAAGCAUUGGAAUAUCAAAAGAAUUUCAAAAUUAGAAUAUAGAUAAUUAAUAAAAAAUGAAAAAGAAUGCUGGAAGCCUUGUCAGAUAUGAUAUCAAUCUUUUAUUUUUUGGAUACUCAUUUUUAAGUUUUGGUAGCUUAGGUUGACAUCUUAAUAUUUACAUAAAUAAAUGCAUAUGGAAAUUAUUGUUUAUUUAAGUUGCGUCUAGACAGUGCAUACUUUUUAUUUCUAGCUAAGAUAUCUAGUACCUUUGCACAACUAUUCUACAUCACAUGCUAUUGAAUAUAAAUAGUAAAAACACCGUUCUCUCACAAUUUAAAGCUUUUGGAAAACAACAGUUGUUUCACAUAAUUUAACAUUGUAUCAGAGCAAGAGUCCUGAGUUAGAGUCCCGCUAGGCUUCUAAUCUUAUUUAAUUUUUUCUCCCAUUUAAAUUAAACCCACAUUUUGGGUCUAUCCAAAAGUCUCAAGCAGAUGUGAGAAGUGUUGAAUAUAAAUAUUAAAAGCAACCGUUCUCCCACUUAAAUGAAGUCCGCGUCUUUGACCUAUCAAAAAGUCUCUAGUCUAGAUGUGAGGGCAAGUGUGGAAUAUAAAUAUUAAAAACACCGUUCUUUGACAACUUAAGUUUUUGAAGAACAACGGUUGUUUCACAUAAUUUAACUUGGUAUCAGAACAAGAGGUCUUGAGUUCAAGUCCUGUCAAGCUUCUAAUCUCAUUUAAUUUCUCCUAUUUAAUUUAAGUCCACGUCUUAGGUCUAUCAAAAAGUUUCAAGCCCAAAUGUGAGGAGGAAUGUUGAAUAUAAAUAUCAAAAAUGCUUUUCUUUGGAUAGCUUACGCUUUUGGAGAACGAUGGUUGUUUCACAUAAUUUAACACCUGGCAUUGUCAAGUGAGGAAUUGACGCUUAUCAUUGUAAACAUUGUAAGAUUGAUAUGGUGCUUGGGAGGUGAUUAUAGCAUUGAGUGAGUAGACUUUUUGUUCAUCAUUCAAUCAUUUGGUAGCACGUCGUCCUAAUAAUCAUUAAAACUCAUGGAAAUUAGAUUAUUCAAUGGACAUUGAUUCUCUAACUGCAUUUAUAUAGCUCCAACGUAGACAUUAUCAUGCAAAUAUAUCUGUAAAACUAAUGAUGCUUGACCUAUUUAAAAAACAAAGGUAAUUUUUGAAGAAACUCUGUGCGAACCAAAUUAAAAUAUAUGCCAUCACCUACGAGAUAGGAUGUGUUUCUAUUUUAUGUUGUUUGCAAAGAGACUGGGAAUGAUAAAAAGCAGGGAAACUAACAGUUGUUUGAUUUCAUAGUCUUUCUAUGUUGUACCAUUAGCAUAUGAUUGCCAACGCAACUACAGCUGUUUCCAAUGAGUUCUUUUUUUUCAUUUAUUUUAUUUUGAAUAAUUUGCAAAUAUCUCCUAUCCUGCAAUUAAGUAUGUAUCCUUUGGAUAGUUGGUCGAGUCACCACAUAGUACGAGGUUUCUGCUAAAGACUACCUUGCUUCAACUACUGACUGAUUUGAUAAGGUACUUUGGUGACAAGUUUGUUAUACAUUUGGUAUUUACUUCUUUUAUCAAUUUAUUUUUCCUCUUUUCCUUUUGUUUGAAUCUUAUGUCUUCUUUCAGCAAUUCUUCUGUAGAUUCCAUUUUGCGAUCAAGAGCAGCUUUGAUCAGUGGGAGGCUUCUUUCAUCGGCUGAGGCCUACAUGGCAAUUAGUGAAUCCAGUCAGUCUCUUGAUCUGUUUAAAUAAAUGUAGUUUCAUCUCCAUUUGAACGUGCAAUGUCAAAUCUUGUUAUGUCAGUAUUUCCCUGUGCUAUCAGAUGCCUGAUAUUAGGUCAUAUUUGGAAUUGGAAUAUGUGGGUUUCAUUUUGGGGGGAGGGGUUAUGAAUGUUAAAUGAUCCAUGUAUGGAAAACAGUGAAGUAAGUGGACGUAAAUUUGUAAAGGACCCAACGGACCAAGGCCUAUCUUCUUAGGUUUUUGUUCUUUAUUUUAGCUUGUCUGGGUUAUUUAUUCUGAACUGAAGGAUGAACUUUUGUUUGUCCUAUUCUAUCCCUUAACAUAGCUCAGGCAAACUUUUGUUUAUUCUACUCCGUUUCUCAACCUAACUUUUGACCUUUAUAAUUGUCACCUUCAUCUAGAGUAGAUGGAGAAGUGCAACCUGUCUAAUAAAGUAUCGUCUUCUCUCUCUUUCUCUCUCUCUCCCCCCCUGUUUCUGCAGUUAUUUUGCUUGGUGCUUAGUACUGAAGUAACAGUCAAUAACAGUCUUCUGCUUAUUUUUUUCCCCCUGUUUCUGCAGUUAUUUUGCUUGUAGGGGAUCCAGAGUAUUGCUGUCUUAAAUUUUUUAUCAGUUCCUUUUUAAUUAUUUCUGCAGUUAUUUCUGCAGUUAUUUCUGCAGAAAUAACUCUGCAGUUAUUCUGCAGUUAUUUUUUCCCCCCUGUUUCUGCAGUAACAACUGUAGGGGAUCCAAAAUAUUGCUGUCUUAUAUUUUUUAACUAUUGUUCCUUUUUAAUUAUAUUUGCUUUGAAUCAUUUUGAAGUACUUUCAAAUAAUUGUUGUCUGCAUUUAGAAACCUGGCUAUGAGAACUUCGAAGCUACUCUAGUUACUCAACUUCUGUUCAGGUAUUGCAGCGCUUCUUUCUGCCAUUGAUGGAAGAUUAAGUCUGCUUGAUAGCCAAAAUACAGAUGAAUGCGAGAGUGCCUUAGAAGCUUUGGGUCUAAUUGGAGCAAGUAAGUAUUCCAAAUUCCCGAUGAACCUCAUUUAUGAAACUGAAAAUUUCCUGCUCGCUAUGAUUUCAAUUUCUGCUACUAGAUCAUUUGUUUCACAAUUCUUCCUUGACUAGUUAUCUUAGUUGUUGUUAUUCUUAGUUCUAUAAAACUUUUGUUGUUGCUCCCUCUAGGGAGAGUGACACUUUAAAAUAUUCUUGGAAUUUUACUAUUCUUGAAUAUACUGAGUGGCAUUUUUUAUAGGUUCGUUAUGCAACCUUUAUUCUCUCGAACUGCCAUUCUAGGGAUGAAAGCAUUCUUAUUUGCUCUCUGUUGUCUGAGGCUUAUUGGCUUUGUUUGCAAUUGCCAUAAUAUUGUUAUUUGUUGGAUUACUAGUUUUCUUAACUAUUUUACCCUUUUAUUUGUCAACCUUUUUAAUCUAAAAUAGAUCAUAAAACAGAUUCCCUUGGGAUGAAUGCUAUAUAAGGCAGUUGUUUGUUUGAAUAGCAUAGAUCUUAGGAAACAUAAUAAUCGGACAUAAUAGCAUUAGAUAGCUGGGUCAUUGAUGCAAAGAAGCAACUUGUUUCGAGAAUGAUUAAAUAUGUGGGAGCUUAGGAAAGUUGCUGUAUGAGAGAUGCUCUGAAGAGAUUCUAAAGCAGCAUCCAUAUCCUGAUUAGGUUAUUCACACUGUUAUUGUGUAAACACUUCUUUUGAAAUUUUAAUCAGGUUCUUUGCAUGUUGUCUUUAUAAAUUGCCAUCUUGAUAUGAACAAAGUCUUACUGCUCUUCGUUAGGAGAUAUUUUUUGUAUUCACUGCAUGAACUCUUCAUACUACAAAUGGGCAUCUUAUUUUUCUUGAUCUGGUGGAACUUUUUAUCCUCAGCUUCAUGUGCACAUGAGUAGAUCGUUACAUUUGGCUAUCAGGAUAUAGAGAUUACACAUGGUUCUUUUCCAGGAUUGCUCCUCCGGAUUAUGUUGCUGCCAAAAGAUAGCUUGUCAAUGUUAAGAUUCUGUGGAUACCUGAAAAUGACUGUCAGUUCAACUAUUUUUAUCAGUAGUAUAAUUUACCUCACACGCAAUUAUGAUUUGAAGUAAUUGGCUACUCUCUAUCUUGUUGUGCCUGUAGAAUGAUCAACGAAAUGGUACUUCGCAAGUUCCAUCAUGCACACUGCUGUAGCAUGAAAAAAAAUCAUUACAUUUGGUAUUGAAAGGAUCUUUUAGUUGCCUAUGUUUCUUCUAGAAAAUUCUCUUUUUUUUAUACUGUAGUGUAAUAACUAGUUCUUGCACUUCAAAGUUUUGUAAAUAACUGAAAUGCAAUAGAGAGGAGAUCAAGUGUUUUGUAGAGUUUUUUUUUUUUACUUUGUCUCUACCUUUUUCUUGCCAUUUUUCAUCAAUCACAUUAUAAAUUCAAGAUUGUCAGCAUAUUGCUCGUAUCUUAUUAUGCAUCUUGUUGAUGUUUUCUAGCAAUUCAAGGAGCGAAUCUGUUGCUUAUAAGUUCGUCUGAUGCAGCAAGACAUAUUGUAGAGUCAGCAUUUGAUCGCCAAAGCAGAGGUAAACUGCUGGUAAGUAGGUAAUAAUAGCAUUAUGUUGUUCAAAAUCUUACUUUUGUUUAUUUGUAUAUUAGAUAGAUCCAAAAUCUUUAUUCUCUAACCUUUACAUGUUAUGAUAUUCUUACUUAUACAUGAUAAGAGAACCAUAUCAAUUCUUCAUAAUGUUACAUUUGCAUUGUAUGUGAGGAGUCAGUUUGCUAUUUGGGAAUAUUCUUUACCUGAUUAUCUUGGUCAUCAUGCAUGUUAGAUUUCUCCAAUGGUGAUGUUCAGUUAAGAAGAGAAAAUUCUUUCUGAUCAUGCUGGAUCUUGAUGACUUUGUUUAUCCUAUCCGUGACUAUGAUACCUACCACUCUGCAACUAGCAUUACAAUAAUUUAGUGUAGCUCGGAAGAACACAUAAUUGCAACAUUAGUUGGUUUUUUUAAACUGUUCUAGCUUCCUUCUGAUGUGUAUGCAGCCUAAAUAUCUUUAAGUUUCAUCCUUGUUCUUUAGUUGGAGGGUUUGUCCUGAUUUUUUUUUUUUUUAAUAAUCCUAUAUAUAUAUGUUGACACUAGCCCAAGUUACGUACUUUGUACAUUAGUGUGAACCCAACCAUGGGGACUGUAAAACUGAAUUCGAGACUGUUCGAUGUUCAACAUCUAAAAAUCCUAUGUACAAAAAAUUACGAGACCUAGAAUUUUUCAUUAGGGGUCAAUGUAAAAUCCAUAGGAUGUAGGUCUUCAACGAUCUUGAUUUUAGAUGUUGUAGAUCACAUCUGACAGUCUUGAUUUUGAGUUUUAAGCCUCUGGUUGAAUUUCACACUUUCAGAGUGUUUAACUUGAAGUUUUGUGUGUUGAUCGUAAUCCACAUUUAUCUCCACAGGCUGCUUUACAUGCUCUUGGAAGUAUUUCUGGAGUUGACCGACCAGAAGAUAAAAUUCUACUUGGUGAGAAAGCGGAGGAAUGCCUUAAGCGCUUGAUAUAUACAACUGCUGCCAAUAGUCCAAAGCUAACCCCUUCUGUUAGUAUCUCUCUAUUCUUCUAUUUCAUCAUAUAUUUCGCAUCUAUACCAAAUUGCAAGUAUGUGAAAGUUUACAAAUACCUCUCUAAAGUUGGUGUUUACAUGCAUAGUCCUUUAAAAUCUUAAUUUGUGCCAGGCAUUGGUGCCCCCUGAAUAGUUAUCCAUGAAAGAAUAUUUUGAAAUACCCUUACCUUCAAGCAUACAAAUGCAAAUACCAACUUUGCUGUGGUUUUUGUGCAAUAUUGUAUAUUUGCAAAGUUAUCUAUGCAGGGGGGGGAAAAACCCAAUUCAAUUUGAAUUGACUCUUUCUUGCCUAGUACAUGAAAAUCUUUCAGCUCUACGAGCCAUUGAAUCAAGCCAAACAGACAAAACUUAAGAAUUACCUUAUUAUGCAAAUGCAGGCCAGAUGCCUUAAUUCCAUUUUUUUUUGUUUCUAUAAAGAAAAUGAAACUACGGACCUAUAUAUAUGUAUGUACACUUCAAAAAACUCAAUUGUUCAACAGGGCCUGUUUCUCUCAGUGCUGCAACAAGAACCAGAAGUACGAUUAGCUGUAAGUUUUUCUGUAGUAAUUUGUUUGAUCAACUUUUUCGGUGAUGCUAAAUAUGUAAUUUCUGUUGUUAAGUAUUUCGUUUGCAUUUUUAUUAUAUGCAUUAUAAGGCAUGUGCCAAGUUCCCCUAAUAUACGAAGCAAAGCUCAUAGCAAGUUUGUUCAGUAUAAAAAUAAUCAUGACUGUCAUACUUUCUAAAUGGUCGCAGGGUUAUAGACUGAUAAAGGGAUUGGUGGUUCGGCAAUGGUGUCUGAUGGAAGUUUGUUCAAAGCAGGAUAUAAUUUCUAUAGUAACUGAUCCAAAGAUCGAGAGUACAAAACAGGGUUUGCUCACUUGCUUUAAUCAUCAUCUCUCAUAAUCAUUUGACAUGCCUUUUUACAUAAUUGACAAGUCAUGCACAUAAACUUUUAGUGGUUCUUUCAUUUCUGGUUCGAGAUUUGUUCCAAGAAGCUAUAUAUUAUAGAUACAUCAGAAAUUUCCCUUUUAACCAUUAUAUUGGAAGGGCUUGGUUGAAACUUUUGCUUCCUAUGAAAAAUAAAAUAAAAUAAAAUAAAAUAAAAUAAAAUAAAUGAAAAACAAAAAAAUGAAAAGUGAGACAUUUGGGCCUUGUUUGGGAGCACUUUCUUUCUUUCCCUUCUUUUUUUUUUGAAAUUCAAAAUUUAUGCAAUUGAAUGUGCCGGAGAAUGGAGUUCUCUAGCAUGUUACCAACUUAGUGUUGGUUAGCUGGCAAAGUCUUUUUUUUCCUUACAAAUCAGUAAAGAAAAAUUUGUAAAUCUUUGUUUCGUGUUGCCAAAGUUGCCAAACAAACAUCAUAAUUUGUAGAUUGCAAAAAACUUCCUUCUUUCGGUAGAUUCAUUAGCUUAGAAUUUGAGUUUAAAUAAAGAAAUGUUAGCAUGACCAAAUCAGGCCCCAUAUUGCAAUUUGAAGAAUUAUUGUAAAAUUCUUAUAGUCGAUUAAUGUUAAGUGCUGGUAGAUACUAUAACCUUCAUAGGAACUUCCACGGACUAUUUGUCAGCUUUUGUUAGAUAAAAUUUAGUGAAAGGUACAGGUACCAUCUUAAGUAUAGGUUAUUUGGAGACAAGUUGCUGUACUUCAGAUUCUUUUGAAAUGAACACCUCAGCAAGUAGCUGUGUUUGAGAAAAUCCAGUCAGGUCUGAGCAUAACUUUACAGAAAAGAAACUUUUCAGAUCAAAUUAUAAAUGAAUUGAGGAUUUCUUCUUUCUCUAUGAAGGGACCACAAAGGCCUAUAAUUUUUUUUUUUUUUAAAAGCACAAGUGGGAUCAAACCUUUGAUAUAUGGCUCCACACCCAAGUGCCUUACUACCUUAUAAGGUGGUUUGACCAUGCUAAUUAUUUAGGGCUUGAAAUCCUGAAAGUGGAACUCAGGAGCCUGUUUCAAAACUACCUCUUUGUACUAAUGAAUAAUUUUCUUAAUAUUAAGGUAUGGAAGCACGCCACGACUGUUGCAUGGCAAUAAGCAAGGCUCUAUCAGCAUCGAGUUUGCUUCAUGAUGCUACUGCUUCUGGAAUUGCUAGCAAGGUAAAUCAUUAUGUUCAACAACUCAAUUUGGCAAAGAGAGGGAAUUUGAUGGCUUUUUAAGCUUUAAAUAAGCAACAAAUUAAGCUUACUCACGCUUAUUUUUCUUCAGUUGCAGGAAGCAGUCAAAAGGGGCCCUUAUCUUGCGAAGAAGCACGUUGAAGCUCAGCCUCUUGUUGUCACCGCCGAGAGAUUUUGAGCUUGAUCUAAACUGUUUCAUAAAAGUGUUACCUUAAAUAUUUUGAUUGAUUCGCUGAUGUACGAAGGAAAAGUUGGGGUUUCAUCAUAUCUGAAUAUUUAUAAGUGAAUUAAUAGUAGAGAGCGAAAUAUCUAGAGAGAUUGACUGCUUGAUAUCUCCUUCAAACUGAGGAUAGUCUAUUUGAAUUUGGUAUUACUUUCCUUCAAUAUCUGGAUGGAAAAUAUUUAUACAAUCAGAGGGAGAUAUUGUUCAAAUAUUUAUCUCAGAGACGCUAAAUAUUUACCAUCCCUUUUUAAAACAAUUGUUUGUGAGUUGCUUCUGGCUGAUUGAAUAGCAGAAGUUUGUUGAUGAAUCACACAGUUGAUUUUGCGCCUUGUUCUGAGCUCUUAGGAAUGCAACCAUGGAAUCACAAGAUGAGAACAAGGGCUUUUUUUGCAUUUCGCUCCCUUAAAAUUUCUUUUUUUACAAAUAAUCCUAUCAAAUUUAUAAUUGCAAUGUUAGCUCAAUUUCCGUCAUGCAGGCGUCACAUCAACGCCACGCAAGCUUGCUGGGGAGGAGGGUUAAGUUGAACAGGUGAACCAUUCACCGUGUUCAAACACGGUGAAUGGUUCACCGUGUUUUAUAUUUAUAUUCUCCUUAUAUUUUUUCCGCACACGGUAAACCAUUCAUCGUGUUUCAUAUUUAUAUUUCCUUAGACACACUGAAUGGAUUACCGUGUUCAACUUAUUCCCGCAUCUCCAUCUUUGUUCGCGUGGCAUCUGCGCGGUAGGAAUAGGGUCAAGAUUAUAAUUAUAAAUUUGGUGGGAUUAUUUGUGAAAAUAAUUUUUUGAGGGGCCCAAAUGCAAAAAAAAGCCCUGAAAACAAAUUUAGUGUUCUUCUAUGUAGUAUUUGGGUUUUUUUUUUUAUUUUUUUAUUUUAUUAUUUUUUUUUUUAUCCCUUUCAACAAAACCAGGAAAUGCUUACAAGAUCUGCUAUUUGAUUUUAUAAGGAUGCAAAAAAUUGAGUGGAGCUCGAAUGGUAGUAACAAUAUGAAAAUAGUGUUUACUGUUAUCUUUUUAAUCAUUGGAUGUUUAGGGUUUGCUAGGGGAUGGUGGAAUAGUAAUAAUCCAAGAGUGAAAAAAUUGAUAGUAAACAUUACUAAUAUACUAUUAAAAAUUAGAAAAGAGUUUGACAACCUAUUUUGCAAUUUGGUUAUUAAAAUUGGUUUCAAAAAAAAGAAAGGUAAUAUUUUCAUUUAAAUGUAAUGAGUUACUCAACCUGGUUAAUUCACUUUGGCCCUAGUUGAAUAUUGAAAUAAGUUUUUGAUGAUAAUUUAUUAGGUAGGAAAAUUUUUUAUAUAAUUUAAAAGUAUGAUAUUGAUUUUUCCGUCUUAAAGGGCUCUUUGUCAUCAAUGAUUUGAUGGGAAAAUUUAAUUCACAUUCAAGGUGAUUUAUCUUUUUCUAGAUAAAUGACAUGAAGAUUGAAUAUAUUGUUCGUUUAUAGACAUUUGACUAUAUUCGUUGUGAUAUAUUAGACCUAGAAAUUGAAGGUUAGAAACUAAUUUUUUAUACGUUUUAGGAGCUGAUUUUGUGUGAUUUUUACGAGAAAGUUUUUGAGCCUGUCUAGGGCGUUGUGGCUGCCGUUCAGACUAGAAGAAUAGUAGCGGAUUACCUCGCUAUUCCGACUAUAUUUCUAUUCUUUGAAUUUGUGAUAUAGGUGGGUUCCGUAUUGUCAAAAUUGACGGAUUAAUUUCUAUAUUCAUAUUAUAUUAUUUAACCUAUGAGAUGAACUACUAAUAUAAUUAAGAUAAUAAUAAUAUUUUGUCACCUACCUGUAAAUUAUAUUGAGAUAUGCAUAUUUUUCACUAUUUUUCACCUACCUGUAAUUUGUGUUAUUUUUUUUGGAGGCCAAUAGAGAGUGACAGAUAGUGUGAGACUAUAACUAUAUUUGUGACAUUAUGACAAUAUUAUCAGGAUCUGUUUGAUUAUCACAUUUGAUUACAGUCUGCAUGUUAUUUUGAGCUUAACAUUUUGAGCUUGACAGUGAUGUUAUACUCAGUUGGGAUAGCGUUGCGAGUGCCACUCUGGAGGUUAGACUAUAAGUUAUUAUUAUGGCAUGAGUCAGAAAGUAGCCUGCGUGGUAGCGGACUAAUAUAGGUGGGUGUUGGACAUGAGGUGGUGCAGGCUAGAUCCGACUGUUGAAUCGGUCACUUGAUUGGGUAUUAUUGUAAUUUUUAUUCGGUAUUUAAUUGAUGUAUGAAAUAUAUAAUUUACAGUUUCAGUUAUAUUAUAAAGGCAUGAUAGUAGUAAUUCCUUUCGGCCAUUAUUUAUAUUAGUGACUGUUCAUUUAUACUGCCUAGUUAUUUACUAUUUCUGCCUCUUAUGGACCUAAUAGUGUAGAUCGUCGAUGUUGUCGACUAUAUUCACUGGGGAUUUUUUAUUAUAGUUCUCAUACCCUUUUUAUUAACAUUUUAUUUCAGGGCUUUUAGCACUAGCGACUGAUUGAGAAAAGGGAAUCACGGAUAGUUAGCAUCUUCUACCCUCUUUGUGUGUGUACCUUGACCACCUAUCAGUUUAUAUAGCGGCAUGUACAGUGUUUUGAGAUUUAGAAUGGCAAAAAAUGUUGUGCCAUUUUGAGGAUUGGUGUGGUGAUGACUGUAUAUUUACAGUGUUGCUACAGUACAUAGUUUAUUUUACUCUGAUACUUGUUGUUGUUAGAUUUUAGUUAGUUUUUUUCGGAACGCUUCGUAUUGUAUAAGGUGUAUCCUUGUGCAGGCGGGUUUUUUGACGUAACCGAGACUUUCGCUGUGAUCCAGGGCGUGACAUUCUGAGCUUUUAAUCAUAAUAAAAAAAAAUUAUUAUACCUAACAUGAUAUUAGUCGAUGACUUAUUCUGACAUUCAAAUAGGAUCUUAGACCUUAUUUGAAUAUUGGAAUAAGUUAUUUGAUGACAACUAAUUUGGUAUAAAGAUUUUUUUUUGUGCAAUUAGAAAGUAGAAGAUUGAUUUUUGCUCUCUAGAAGUCUUUGACAUUCAUGAUUUGAUAGGAUACUAUAUUUUAUUACAGUGGUGGUCCCUAAUCUUUGCAUACUUUUCAAUCUGGCCUCCAACUUCUUUUUUGCAAUUAAGUACCCAAUCUCUUGAAUUUAUUGCAAUCAGUUCCAAGCCGUUAAAAGGGGUGUAAAAAUUGACGAAAUAUUUCACAUCAGCGUCAAAGACAACUAAUUAUACAAAUUAAAUUUAAAUUUAAAAUCAAAUUCACAUUUUAAAUUUAUAUUUUAAAUUUUAAUUAUUUUUUGAAAUAAAUUUUAAAUUCAAAUCUAGAUUUUUUAAUUCAAUUUUAAUUUUAAAUAUCGAAUUCAAAUUUCAAAUUUGUCUAACUUGUGCACCAAUUUGUAUAUAAAUUUCUGUUAUGGCAGUGACAAUUUGUCAUUUUGCUAAUUCUACCAAAUCUCAAUGCCAAAAAUUUGUUGUGUUAGUCUAAAAUCUUUCACUUCAGAGGCCUUGCUCACUUCAUUCUUGAGUUUAUUAAUCCUAGCCUUACAUAUUAUGUGUAACACCCCCAAUAGUCCCACAUCGGAUGGGAUACUGAUUCCAAUCAGUUUAUAUGAGACCUACACGCUAGUAAUAAUAACUGGGUUUAAGCAUUUUGGGCCGGUGGUUGGGCCUAACGAGUUAUUGGUGCUAGCGGGUCGGGUCGUUGCAAUUGGUAUCAAAGACGAAUACUAGCCGGAGGUGUGAGAACUAAGUGCUAUGCGGGAUAAAGUGCUACACCAACGGGUUUGGUGGGAGCCACCUCUUGAACCCGUAGGAGCCACCUCUAGAAUCUCAGAUCGCCUGGUAUAGUCUGUCUGUCUGUGAUCUGGUUUGAACCCGACGAGGACGUCAGGGUCUAAAUAGGUAGAGUUUGUAACGCCCCCAAUAGUCCCACAUCGGAUGGGAUACUGAUUUCGAUCAAUUUAUAUGGGGCCUACACGCUAGUAAUAAUAACUGAGCUUAAGCAUUUUGGACCGGUGGUUUGGGUUCAACGAGUUAUUGUUUCUAGUCGGCAUUUUGGGCCGGUGGUUUGGGCCCAACGAGUUAUUAUUGCUAGUGGGUCGGGGCGUAGCGGAAGCGUGGUGGGCCCAUAACCCACAGGUCCCAGGAUCGAAACCUAGCUCUCAAUUUUAACGACCCGACCCGCUAACAACAAUAACUCGUUGGGACCAAACCACUGGCCCAAAAUACUUAAGCCCAGUUAUUAUUAUUAGCGUGUAGGGCUCAUAUAAACUGAUCGGAAUCAGUAUCCCAUCCGAUGUGGGACUAACCAGAUCACAGACAGACCAAGACCAAGACCAUUACCAGGCGAUGUGAGAUUCUAGAGGUGGCUCCUAAGGGUUCAAGAGGUGGCUCCCACCAAACCCAAACCCGUUGGUGUAGCACUUUGUCCCGCAUAGCACUUAGAUCUCACACUUCUGGCUGGUAACCUAGCUCUGAUACCAAUUGCAACGACCCGAUCCGCUAGCAAUAAUAACUCGCUGGGCCCAAACCACCGACCCAAAAUGCUCGCUAGCAACAAUAACUCGUUGGACCCAAACCACCGGCCCAAAAUGCUUAAGCCCAGUUAUUAUUACUAGCGUGUAGGCCCCAUAUAAAUUGAUCGGAAUCAGUAUCCCAUCCGAUGUAGGACUAUUGGGGGCGUUACAUUAUGAGUACGUCAUCCACAUACAAUACUAAAACCACAAAAGUGCCAUCUUUUAAGAAUCUUAAGUAGACAUAAUGAUCGAAUAUAGUUCUUUGGAAUUCAUAGCUUAACAUAAAAGUGUCAAACUUUUAAUACCAUUAUCUUGACACAUGUUUAAGCCUAUAUAAUGACUUUUUGAACUUUCAUAUAAGAUAUUUUUUUACCCUUCUUUUUUAAGCCUUGAGAUUGAUGCAUAUAAACCUCUUUUUCUAAAUUUCCAUAUAAAAAUACUGUUUUAAAAUCUAAUUCGUCAAGUUCAAAAUUAUUUAUAGCAACAAGACUAAAAACAAGUCAAAUAUAAACCAAUUUAUAGACAUGAGCACGUCAAAGAAAUCCAUACAUGCAUUUCUUUUGUAUGAAGUCUUUAGCAACCAAUCUUGUCUUAUAUCUUUGAAUUGUCUUAUAGCUUUCUUUUUUGAUUUAGUAAACCUAUUUACAACCAAAUGUUUUCUGGCUCUUUGAGUGUCAUUCUGGGCUUCUUUGUUCUCGAUGUUUUCACGUUCUACUCUUCUUGCCAACACAGUUGAUCAUCAAUGUGUACAUCACAACUUGUGAUAAUUUUGCUAGUCAUCGAAUCCAAUAACUGAUAUCUUUUCACACCUUUUGUAUAGCCGGCAAGUAUGCAUUUUGUCGAUCUUGGAUCCAACUUAGUUCUUUGACAAUUAGGAACCAAUGAAAAAGUACGACAACCAAAUAUUUUAGAUUAGAAUAAUCACAAGGAGUUCUAAACUAUAACUUUCGAAACAUAUCUCCUCCGGUUUUUCCAUCUGUAGCAAUGGAAGAUGAGCAGUUGACAACAUAACAAGCUAUGGAUAUGACCUCGGCCCACAACUCGUGCUCCAAACUGGCAUUAAUCAAAUGCUACAAGCCAACUCCAUCAGUGUAUGGUUCAUCCUCUUGGCCGCACCAUUUUGUUGUCGAUUAUCCGGAUUUGUAUUGCAUCUUAAGAUGCUAUUCUCUUUACAAAAGAGCUCAAACUCCUUAGAUUUGUGCUCGAAUCAUUGUCCGAUCAGAGAACUUUAAUGCGGCGCUCGGUGAGGUUCUCUACUUAGGCUUUAAACUGCUUAAAUGUUUGAACUGUCUCACCCUUAGAUUUGAGAAAUUUACCCAAACCUUCCGUGAGAAGUCGUCAAUUAGUGAUAUAAAAUAAUUGGCACCAUUAUAUGAUGUAGUAGGAGAACUUCAUGCAUUCAUAUGAAAGAAGUCAAAAAUACCUUAACUUGUGUGACUUCCAGCUUUUAAGCUCCGCUUAUGAUGUUUCUCAUAAACACAAUACUUAUACAAUUUUGAAUCACUAAAAGUAAUAUUAAGCUUCCUCUUUACCAAAAUCUUCGUAUCUUUCUCACUCGUAUGACCCAACCUCCUAUAUCAUAGCUAGAGAGGAAGGUCUUUAUUCUCCAACACCGCAAAAGCUUUAUCUGUUAUUGUACUUUCCAAUAAUGGAUACAAAGUUUCAAUCUGAAUGCCCUUCAUGAUAGGUGACAUUCCAAUAAUCCCACAUCGGAUAAUAUGGGAGAGUGUCAUGGAUUUAUAAGUGACGGACACACUAAUAAUAACAACUGGGCAUAAGCAUUUUGGGCUAGUGGUUUGGGCCAAAUGAGUUAUUAUUGCUAGCGAGUCGGGUCGUUACAUUAAUGACUGUUAAGAAUCGAUACCCCUUACCGAGAAUCGACGACUUAUGCAAUUAGCUUCGUGGUGCAGAGGUCUUUUCUAAGAUUGAUUUGAGAUCGAGACAUCAUCAACUAAAAAUUAGAGUCGAGGAUAUACCCAAAACAGCUUUUCGUACAUGUUAUAGGCAUUAUGAUUUGAGAUCGGGACAUCAUCAACUAAAAAUUAGAGUCGAGGAGACAUCAUCAACUAAAAAUUAGAGUCGAGGAUACCCGUGGGUCACGAACGCUAACACAAGUAAGAUUAUUAGCCCCAACGACAAAGCUAUGUUGGACGGAUGAAAAGUUGCAACAAAACGGGUAGCUACCUGCAGUGGUCCCACUGCACGGGAGAAUCAGAGGCAAAUAGAGAUGGACAGCUCGAAGAAAGCGCCACAUGCGGAACANUUCAUGGUUUCUCUUGGCUAUAUGGUUCAUCUGGGGGGGAGAUCGAGCUUCAAGAAAUAGUGAAUGGUCUUAUCAAUACACAAAUGUAUAACUCCCCAGGAAUUUCAAUUGCGCUUAUAUUCAUCACUGUAGGAAUUGGGUUCAAGCUUUCCCCAGCCCCUUUUCAUCAAUGGACUCCUGACGUAUACGAAGGAGUGCGGUUCGUUCGACAAAUUCCUACCUCUAUAUCUAUCUCUGAGAUGUUUGGAUUUUUCAAAACUCCAUAGACAUGCAGAAGAGAAUUAGCAUUGGCACUAAACUAAAAAUACUAAAUAUAAAUAAAGUAAAGCUAAUAAAAGAAGAUGAAUUCUUAGUAAUGCCCUUCUGUUUGACUAAUGCGCAAGACAUUUAUGGAUUUAAUGAAUAGGGUUUUUAAGUCUUUCUUGCAUAAGUUUAUGGUAGUUUUUAUAAAUGACAUCUUGGUGUUUUCUAGCAGUCCAACUGAGCAUGAGGAACAUCUCAAAAUAAUCUUGGACACGUCAAGAUAGAAGAAGCUCUUUACCAAAUUUUAGAUGUGAAUUUUGGCUUCAUAGUGUUUCCUUCCUUGGACAUAUCGUAUCUAAAGAAGGUAUUUCGGUAGACCCGAAAAAGAUAGAAGUUGUGGACAAUUGGUUGAGGCAUCCUAGCGUUAGCGAGAUUCGAAGUUUCUUAGGUUUCGCGGGAUACUAUAGAAGAUUCGUGGAAGGCUUCUGUCGCAUUGCGGUACCUUUGACUUGUUUAACAAGAAAAGAAAUCAAAUUUCAAUGGUCUGAUGAGUAUGAGCAAAGUUUUAAGGAGCUAAAGAAGCAGUGUGUGUCGGCGUCUUCUGCAACGCCCCAAUAGUUCCAAAUCGGAUGGAAAAGUGAUUCUGAUUAGAAUAUAUGAAGCCUCAACGCUAGUAAUAAUAACCGGACUUAAGCAUUUUGGUAGGUGAUUUAGGCCUAACGAGUUAUUAUUACUAGCGGGUCGAGUCGUUAUAAUUGGUAUCAGAGUCGAAUACUAGCCGAAAGUGUGAGUGGUAAGUGCUAUACGGGACAAAGUGCUUCACUAACGGAUUUGGUGGGAGUCACAUCUUGAACCUGUAGGAGCCACCUCUAAAAUCUCAUAUCGCCUGAUAAUUCUGGUCUGUAUUUCUGUGAUCUGGUUUGAACCUGACGAGGACGUUAGGAUCUAAACAUGGGGAGUCUGCAACGCUUCAAUAGUCCCAAAUCGGAUGGAAAAAGAGUUCUUAUUAAAAUAUAUGAAGCCUCCACGCUAGUAAUAAUAACUGGGCUUAAACAUUUUGGGCCGGUGGUUUAGGCCCAAUGAGUUAUUAUUGCUAGCGGAUCGGGUCGUUAUUGCUAGCGGAUCGAGUUGUUACAUGACAACCAAUACAUCUUUCGAGAAUUUAAAAACUCCACCUUGCUCGUCGAAUUUGUAGCCUUUAUUGUCCAAAUAGGAGAGAGAGGUCAAAUCUUUCUUUAAAUCCGAAACAUAUCAUACUUUCAAGCACCCGAACCGUUCCAUCAAACAUUCUUAUGCCUACUGAACCAAUUCCUAUUGUUAUACUAGUUCAUUUGUUUCCAUCAAAAUGGUAACACCAUCACAUUCCUCGUAGGCACUAAACCAUGAACGAUGUUGACAUAUAUAAUGAAUAGCACCGUUAUCAAGAAUCCAAUUUCGAUAAAAAAAAAUAGUGCUAGAACCCGCCAUUCAGACUUCAUCAUCAAUAACACCCGUUGUUGUCUCUUCAACUUGAUGUGCUUCAUUAUUCGAAUCCGAGUUUGUUUGGUGCUAUAACAUUUUUUGCCACUAAAUCAAUCCUCUGAUUCUUGGAUCAUGUACAAUGUUGUGUCCUAUAAGUAACCAUCAUUAUUUAUUUUGCUAAAAAAUUCUUGGUGCUUUUAGAAAAAAUCCAUCUUUUAUAUAUAUAUAUAUAUAUAUAUAGAGAGAGAGAGAGAGAGCUAGGCUGAUAUACUAUUGAUAGCACAGAAACCUCAGUACGUGCUACCAAGUUGUUUUCUUCCAAAUCGACGAUCGGUUACAUUAGACUUGAUUUUGAGCCACGUCGAUCACUAGACAAAUGAUAUCCAAAAAUCGCAAAAUUGUACCAUCGGCACGAAUACUAUAUUGUACCAAUAUCUUACUGACACGAUACGACAUAGUAGAUACAAACCGUGCCGACGGACACUUAAAUCCUUGCAUUACACUACUUAUCUAUAGAUGUUUUGGUCAUAUGUUUAGCUGUUCUUGAGUUUUUUAACUCCCACCUUUAAGAUUAUGAACUCUUGAAUUGUUUCACUUUGGCCCUAGCCAUAGAAGAAAAUUUAUUGCCUGCACCCUGACCGACGGGCCCUUCAUCCAUCUCAUACUUUUCUUUUCUUUUUUCUUUUUUCUUUUUUUUUUCCUUGCGCAAUGAAGGACCGACAAAAGAGCAGCGCAUGGACAUACACAUGCACUGGAUGUAGGCAAGAGAAUGUCGAAUGUCAAAACUAAAAACAAAAAAAUUCAAGGACCAAAGUUAAACAUCAGUUUGGGGACUAACAGUGCAAUUUACCCUGAUAAAAGUAUAUAUAGAAAAAGCUGUUGGAGCUCUGGGAGCAACAAUUCCAAACCAAAAUUCGCUUCAUGACAUGUUGCACAAAAAUACAAGGACCAAACAGCAAAUACAACAAAAUAAGCGAUGAAUUAUCUUGUUGAAAGACAAACAAUCUUUUAAACAGUAGCUGCAGGAGUGUACCAGCCAUGGUGGAUCUCCACAGCUUUCUUCCUCCUUGCGAGUCUCGACUUGCGAUGAGCCCCUGUGUUCCUAUGUAGUGUGCCGACCUUCACAGCCUUGUCGAUCACUGAAUAUGCUUCCGCUAUAAGCUUCUCUAUCGGAAGAAUCUCUUCAGCCUGAGCAUCGGCCUUCUUCUUAAGCACUUCUAGAGCUUCAAGGACCUAAAGAAGGCAAAAGGAAAAGCAAAGAUCUUGAGUGUCCUCUAACUUCUCUUCUGCAUCGUUAUGAAAAAUUUCCAUCCUAAGGUUUUCUUGCAUGUAAAAAAAUUAUUAAACCAGCUCCCUAUAAUGGUCUUUGAAGUUCAGACAUUGAUAUGCAAAAAGAACAAAUUGAGCAGUUUUAUGUGAAGUCCUGUUUGGUUGUUGGGCUUGGUUGCUUGGACAACCUCUUUAUUUUGAGAAGUAAUCAGGUGUAUGGCAAGCAAAAAGUUUGGAUCUCUUACUGAAGCAAAAAGUUGGGAUCUCUUACUUAGUAAAGCACGUGGCACUUUUGGAGAUUCUAAUAAAGAAGUCAUUAGUGCUACUUCAAAAAGCCUUAUUCAAACAACAGCAGACCAGGAGGAGCAAAGAGAUCAUAAAAAUUUCAACGUAUUAGAAUAGAAGUAUAUGUCGGAUCGACGGCGCUAACCAUUAACCUCAAAAGCUCGAGCUGGUAGAAAGAUACAACCAAUUCACUUCAAGCGUACAGACAAAGCACUCACGAGUCUUGACUGUGACUCGACCCAACCAGCCUCGCGCCACUUUGAUCAUGACUCCGCCCAACCUGGCAAACGUAACUCGGCCCUACUUAGCCUCCCGCCAUAGAGCAAGAAGCUAACUCACUUAAGCUAACAAUCCUCUCUCCAGCACAUGCACAAAUUUGCAGCAUGUAGGAACCGAACCCGUAACCUCUGGCUCUGAUACGACUUGUCAGAUCAUUGACGCUAACCAUUAAUUCCAAAAACUCGAGUUGUUAGAAAGAUGCAACCAAUUCACUUAAAGCGUACAAACACAAUACCCAUGGGUCUCGAUUGUGACUCGGCUCAACCAAGCUCACGUUGCUUUGAUCAUGACUCGGCUCAACCAGGCCUCACACCAUUUCAAAUGUAACUCGGCCCAACCUAACCUCCCACCACAGAGCAGGAUGCUGGCCCAUUUAAGCUAACAGUAUAAUCUGAACUAUUCUACUAGCAGCACACCAGAAGACUUGUGGCAACAAUAAUUGAUGUCCUUCUUAGUGCCUUCGUUUUACCAUUAUAUAUGUUAGAUAAUAGACAAAUUGAUAAGCGCAAAAAAUUUUUGAUCCCUUUUGCAUUUUUCCCUUUUAUCAGAGAUCAUACCAAGAAGCCACCAAGUGGCAUUCAUUAAGGGCUUGUUUGGUUCAAGGGUGGAAUUGGAAUGGAUAAUGGAAUGAGAAUGAAUUGGAAUGGUAAUUGGAAUGGCCCACUCCCCCAAGACAUUUGGUUUAUUUGUGGAUUGGGAAUUGGAAUGAGUUAUUCAUAUUUCAUUGUUUGGUUCGUAUAAAAUAAAAGAAAAUUAUAGGAUGCUAUAAUACUAAUUUUACUCUCAAAUAUAAAUUUAUAUUAUUUAAAAUUUAUGAAAAAUAUAAUACUAUUCUCUAAUAAAUUUUCCAAAAAAAAUAUCAAAUUUAUUUUUAAAAUUUUUUAUUGAUGUGGGUUAGAGAGGGUUUUGAGAGAGGAUAGGUUUUUUUUUUUGAUGAGAAAGGGGUGAAGAGAAGGAGGGUGAGAUGGUCACACGGGCUUCGAGAACUUAGUGGGCUUCCGGAAUGAAAUCUCAAUCCGAGCUAGAAGACCGGAAUCAAGUUCAAGGCUAAUGGGUCAUUCCCAUUCCAGUCCGGAAUAGAAAUCCCAAACCGAUUCAUGCAAACCAAACAAAAUUAAUCGGAUUUGAUCAAACCAAUUCCCAUUCCAUACCCAAAAUGGAUGAACCAAACAAGCCCUAAAAGUAAACAAGCAAUUCAUUAUUGCAAUAGAGUCUCAAAUAGUUUUGAGUACAAUAAUGUAUAUCAGGAUUCAAAUCUUCAUGGGAUGGGAAAGACCUCUAACGAUUCAUUUACCAAAAUUUGUGUUUCGAGAGAUCAAAUAUUCUAGACCUAAAGUUUUUCUCAAUGCUAGCAGAGUUCUACUCCAAUAUUCAGUAUAUAGUUUUCUAAAGGAUAAAAUAUACAGUCUGCCUAGUAUGAUCUCAAUUAAUCCUGUAGCAUCAUUCAAUCUGGGCAUGUAGUCACUUGGGCACUUCCUAAGAUGAGAUUUGCAGCAACGAAUUUUCAUCCUCCCCAUGGUUUCGUCAGUGAUAUACCAACACAACCUUAACAUGUACGGGCAGAUGGGUCUCAGGAGUUUGAAACGAAGAUACUCAAGCCUGGAAUUCAGCCUAUUUAACGUUCGUGGCUGUUGUAAAGAGGAUGGGGUGAAUAUAUAAUAUGUAAGCAAUUAAAUCUUCCUUCGCAUUCAGAUUACUGCCAUCACAAUAUAUUUUCUUUACCCUUAACUUUGGUCCAGACAGUUGCCUCACACUUAUAGGGCAUGUUUGGUUUGCACCUUUUUCACCUUAGAAUUGGAAUCGAAACGGACGAAUCCGUUUGUCCGUGUUUGGUACGCGAGAUUCCUAUUCCGAUUCCGAUUCCCAGGGGAAUGGGAAUCUCCCCAAUUACCCCUCUUUCCAAUCCAGCCUAGGAGGCGGGAUUGGAAAUUGAAUCUGGGACGGAAUGAAUUUAUUCCAAUUAAAUUUAGCUUUUUAAACUUUUUUAAUUAAAACAUAAGUUUAAGUUUACAAAUUAUAUUUGUAAAUUUUAAUUUUAAUUUUAACUUAAAUUAAAAAUUAAAAUUCAAUCAAGCAUUUCGAAUCUAAUUUAUAAAUUUAAAUUAAAAUUUAAAAUCUAAAGUUUUAUUCAAAUUUUAUUUAAAAUUUAAAUUAUGAAUUCAAAUCGAAAUUUAAAUUAUAAUUUUAAGUUUAAAUUUGAAUAAAUAAAAUUUAGUUUUAUAUUUUGAAUUAUCCAUUAAAUUUCAAAUUUUAAUUUUUUAAAAAAAUAUAUUUAAAAUUUUGACAUCAUUUUAAAACUUCGGCGUAAAUUUUUAAUAUUUACUUUUCAGUUUGAAUUUAAACUAAUAUAUUAUAAAGAUAAAAUUGACAUAUUAAUUUGAUUACGUUUCUGAUAUCUAUCUAAACCAAACACCGACAAUGAGAAUGGUUCAUUCUGAUUCCGAUUCAGGUGGCAAAUCAAACAGAAUGAGGUAAUAAAUCAUUCCGAUUCCGUUUCCAACUUAUUUUCAUUCCGACUCCGAUACCGAUUCCGACUUCGAAUCAAACACACCCAUAGUUCACUGUCAUUGUAUUCCAAUUUUUCAUUGGAUCGUCUAUUUUUCUUGCAAUUUUUGGUCCUUUCAUAGCUUUUCUUUUCAUUUUGCUAAUUUGCAGUGUCGCCAUUUUGUUGCACUUAACUAGGACAAGGACUGAAAAUUCUGCCUACUUGGCAGAGAAUCAAGUUUCAGACAACAAUUCGUAACUUUAUUUUCUAAAUAUGAAUUAAAAGAGAUGACAUGAAAGUUAAAUGGAGGAAGUUGACAUGCUUUUCGAUUCCUCCUGUUGAAACAUCUCAUAACCUUGGAGAUUAUUUCAAAGACCAUAAGACCAAGAUGUCACAUGUAUCAAUUUAUCUAGGCAAUACAGAUUCUGGAGAAGACAAUGCAUAUAGAACUAGAAACUCAAGGUCUACAAAUAUAAGCAACAAAGAAGUCCAUAAUGCAUCACAUCGAACAGAGAAAGCUGGGGGAUCGAAUUAAAUGACAUUCACACAUGCAAAGGAUAAGAGCUUAACUUUAUCAAACAUGAACUAGAGCAACUUCUACUCUUCUUGUGAUCAACAUGUCCAAAAAGGCAACGCUAGAAAAGAAUAUAUAUACUAUGCAAAUUUUAAAUACCUAGCCUGAUUGGAUUCUACAAGGUCUUCUCUCUUUAACUAGUGAUAAUCAAUAUAUAGAGUUAAACGAAGGUUAAAUUUAGAAGAAUCAAAGGGUUAAUUACACUAUACUACAUGGGACUUUAGGAUUUAUUCACUUAUUAUAUUGCAUUUCUUUUUCUGUCAAACUCUUAGUUGAGCAUUUGAUUCUACAACAGUUCCUCUACUUCAUUAACAGAUACAUUAGAACCAUGUUUGCUACUAACAGCUUUCCCCGAGGUGUCUUUGAAUGAGAAAAUGGAAAGCAUCGAACGGGAAAUCCAUAGAUUCUAUGUAGAUACACUCUUCUAAGGUUUGCCUCUGAGAUUAAUCGUAGAGAAUUUGAAAUCUCAAAGUUUUCUUACCAAUCAAACAAAUCAAGGAUUUAAAUGCCCAUCGGGACGGGUCGUAUCCACCAUGCCGUAUCGUGCCAGUAAGAUAUCGGUACGAUACAACCCUCAUGCCGACAGCGCAAAACUCUCUAUUCCUUAAAUUGGUAAGUAAUUUUCUUAAAAAAAUCAAAAUAUUCGAUAAAAAUACAUAAUAAACGGUUGGAGUAUUUUGUUGCUAAAGAAAAUAAAUAGUUUAUGCCAUUAUGUUCCGCCACACUUAUAUUUUUUGUGACCAGCACGCAUCGGCAUGCACCAGACCGUACAGUGCAGCAAGUUUCCGGUACGAACUUAAAUCAUUGAAAUAAAAGAUUUUCUGAACAUCUCCACCGAGCAAUUCAAACCACUGUUAACCUAGCCUAAUAUCAGAGACUAUUUGUUACCUAAGUGUAGGAGUUCUUGUUUAAAAUAGAAGCACAGAUGAAAAAGUAAAACUAGCGAAGGAGAGUGCGAUCAAGCGAAAGGGGUCAAGAGAAAGACGGGGGACCUUCCUCAUCCUGGUCUUGAUCUCGGACUUGCGCGCCUUGUUGUAAAUCCGCCGUUUCUCCGCCUGCCGAGCUCUCUUCGCGGCCGAGUCCGCCUUCUUCGGCGCCGCCUCGCACACCACCGACCUGCGCGGCGGCGACGACUUGGGCUUCUCUACCGCCCUCGGAGGAGAGCCGAAACCACCUUUCCAGUAGAAAUUACAGGAAAAGAAUCGAUCAAAUAAUUCUAAUGAUGAAGUAAAAGAGAGAGAGAGAGAGAGAGAGAGAGAGAGAGAGAGAGAGAGAUACCGUUGGGGAAGGCGAUUAGGGAGAGAUUGGAGGAGAAGGCGAGGGAAGCGAAGUAGGGACCGCGAACAGGGACAAAGCGGGAGAUGGUGUUGGUGGCGGAGAGAGAGGAGAAGGGUUUUGCUCGGCGAUAUGAGGAGGAGGAGCAGGAGCACGAAGGGAGAGCGAAGGAGGCCAUGGCUUUGUUCGGAGCGCUCUCUCUCUCUCUCUCUCUCUCUCUCUAUCACUUUGUCAUCCGCUGGGGAGUGUGCGAGAGUACCCGGCGCGGAUAUCGUACUCGGGCUUUUUUAUAAAAUGACCCUCCAGAAAUUGGUUUUUGGCAAAAUAACCCUACCAAAAUUUUAUUUGUAAAACUAACCCUCCUUUCACCACGUGGGCGAGACGUCAGGGAUUCCUCAAAAAGACGGUGAAUCAUUCACUAUUUUUGUUAUAUUUAUUGUGAAGGCGGUGAAUGGUUCACCGCCUUCAUAAGGCGGCGAAUCAUUCACUAUUUUUAGUACAAAUCACUACUCUGAUGCGCAAAUCUUUCUAAGUUCAGAAUAUGGUGUUCUUAAUAAGAUGGUGAAUCGUUCCCCGUGUUCUCGAGGGCACGGAAACGGCGGACUUGAAAGGGCGGAAAGGAAGAAAGGGGGGAAAGGAGAUUUUGCACUAAAGGCGGUGAAUGGUUCACCGCCUUCUGAAGGCGGUUAACCAUUCACCGCUUUUACAACAAAUAUUAUAAAGACAGUAAACGAUUCACCGUCUUUGUAAGAAAUCCUGACGUGGCGCCCACGUGGCGAAAGGAGGGUUAGUUACAAAUAAAAUUUUGGCAGGAUCAUUUUGCCAAUUUUGAGUUUCUGGAGGGUCAUUUUAUAAAAAAGCCCAUCGUAUUCUGUGGCACGUGCGCAGCACCUGCUUUUGAGAAACAGGCCUGCUAACUAAGUAGCCGCUAUACCGCGUUAUUUAUAUCUAAUUAAUCAUAUUUUUUUUAAAAAAUAUAUAUAAUAAAAUAUUUUUAAAAACUUAUUAUAGAAUGUGUGAACCUAAAAGAACAAUUUAAUCGGAUGAAGGCACUAUAUCUGCAAUGUGACGACUGUAUAAUAGAUUUUUACUAAGUGGGGUUAUGAUGUAAGAUUAAACUCAAAAAAAUGUUUAAAGCGAUGUUUCUAUCUGUGUCCUUGCACGAUAGGUAUGAAACAUACGCUUUACAUAUUUAAAUAUCCAUUUUUUGUUUUAUUAAUUUUUUAAUUAAACUUUAAAUAAAAUUUUGUGAACUUUAUAAUGUAAAAAUAUAUAUAAUUUACAUCUAUAUAUGUGUGUGUAUAGUACUUUUUAAAUGUUAAAUUAUAAAAAUGAGCUUAGUAAAAAUUUUAGUUAUAAAAAUAUAUGUAAAAUGUGUCAUAUACAAGUCUCCAUGUACUUAGAAACUGAUAAUAUUUUUAUUUACUGCAUGAAAAAAUAUAAAGAAAGCAAUAAAUAAUUCACUAUACGCUUUUUAAUAACAUCUCUCUCCCUUCCCUCAUCUUCUUUAUAUUCUCUGUUUAGAGGGGCCCAUCCCCCACCUAUCCUUUUUUUUAGCAAUUAGAGAAAUUCAUGACAAUCAUUGACAACUUUAUUUAAUAUGAUAUUAUCUUAUAUUUGUAUCUUAUAAUUCCUCCACCCUUAAAGUCGUUUUUCGUACACGACAUAUCUAUCUAUAUAUCUUGAUUAGGAAUAAUAAUGGAGAUAGAUUAAAGAAAGUGCCAUACUGAUCAAUCCUAAAUGAAACGAAAUAAUAAUUGAGGUGUAUAUGUGUCACGCCCUGCCCCGAAAUCACUACCAAUUUGGCACGAUUCGGGCGCGCCGAGUGGACUGCCGAACGGACAGCACCUCCCCUGUCCGCCAAAGGCUCACAACAAGAAUGUGUACAAGAAUUUUUCAGGAAUUUAAAUUCUAAACAUACACAUUCAACGGGGCACAAAUAGUGCCAGCAAUUACGAGAGCAAGUAAUCCACAGGAAUAACAUGUGAAAUAAAGAGAGUACCUUACUAACUAUUACAAUAGUUUUGCAUCUUUUUCAUUUACAUCAUUUUCUUUAAAUGAUUACAUCAUUCAUCCAAAAUACAUAGCUCUCCAAAUCCUCACCUACAAUGAAUCUCUCAAAUACAUAGGUGUGCUAAUGCAAAAAGAAAAGCUACUAUACUACCACGGUCUCACUGAUCGGGCGCGAUGCCCUUGCCGCGGUCCUCUCUCCGCAGCCUUGUACCUACCACUGGAAAUAGAGUGGGGUGAGAACUAUCUUCCAUAGUUCCCACUGGGCUCGGCCGCCGACUCUGCCGAUCUCCCCACUAGGUCCAAGUGGGCACAAGCAACAACAGAUAGAUAGAUAGAUAUCUAAAAGCUGUAAAUGCGAUAGUAUGAAAACUAUGCUACUAUGCCCAUAAUCAUGUGUAAUGAAUGCAUGCAUCAUAUAGUAAAGGUUUACUAUCAUGCUGACGAAUUCGAUCCAUAUUCGAAUAAUAAUGUUCAAUGACAUUGUUCACUGUUCUUUUACCCAAUCUGUAGCGAAACCCUUGGGUUCGCCAAUAACUCACCUUUCAAUCCCAAAGUGGGGAGGGAGCUCCAAGUGCACCCAAGCCCGGGACCAUCUGCGGACCUCUAUGUGGUCCGGACCUCCAAGUGGUCCUAGCCGCGCGACACUCCUGAGUACUCGACGACAAUCCCCUCCAUGUGGGGAUAGGAUGACUAUACCACCCCAGAAGCAGACCGUGAGCUAGAUCUAUCCUCUCCAAGUAAGAAUAUACUACAACUAGGGUCAACAACCCAAUCAAAUCCUCUCCAAGUGAGGAUGCCCUACAACUAGGGUCAAUGUCUCAAUAACUCAUCGACAACCUCUCCAUGUGAGAGUACUUAGGUUUACUAAGUUCUUUAUCCACAAGGCAUUUUUUAAGGGAUCCAUCUAUCCCUAGGUUCUCAAACCUCUAGUGUCAUUUACACUACAUUAAUGCCACUCGUUAUUCUUUAACAUUUGGAUGCCACUCGUUUGUUCUUUAACAUUAAACACUACUUUCUAUGUCACCAACCCCCAUCGGGUUCAUCUCUUUUCUUUCGCAUCAUAGGAUCCACGUUCCGACCCAAUCCUCACCUAUCUAAGUUACCGAGCGUUCCAAGUACACUAGGUUAUCAAUUAGAAAGCAUAAGGAAUGGAGCUAUUAUGCAAUCUUACAAUGCAACAUGUAAGAGAUGAGAUUAAAUGCAAUCUAAAACAUAGAAAGGAGUUCGAAAGCUUCGGGAUGGCACCCCCCCACCUUUUAUCGAUGUAGAGGCCUUAGAAACGCUCCUCGGCGCACCUUACGACGAGGUCUCAGCCUUUUUGGUCCAAGACAAGGCUAAAUCGGUCGUAUUUCGCCGAUCCCAAUCCACUCGACGAAUCACGAAAUCGACUUCGCCCCCGCGUUUUGUGACCUACCAAUUAGAUUUACAAUGCCUCAAAUGAGAUCAAUCUCAUGCUUUACCAAAAAUCCCAUUUUGGGUGCCCUAGGGUUCCCGCCUUGUCAUUUGCAAUUUGGAACCCUAACUCUUGCUUUGAUCCACCAACAAUGGUGCUAGGGGUCCAUUUGACCCCAUUUCCAAAGCUCAAAACCCAAAAAACCUAAGUUCUACAAGCUAGGGUUUGUAGCUUACCUCUUGAGCUACACCAAUGGGAAGAGGAGAGGGAGAUGGAGAUGUUUAAAGCCUUCUCCUUAAUCUCCUUCUUCUUCUUCUUCCUUUUCUUCUUCUCCUUUUCCUUCCUCUCCUUCUUGUUCUUCUUGUGCUUCUUGUCUUUCUAGGGAGAGAGAGGGAGACAAAUGAGAGUGAUGGAGUGAGGGGAAUGAGAGAAAUAGAGAGAGAGGCCUCUCCCUUAACCCUUCUCAUGGUCAUUUUGCACUUAAACCCCUCAACUUUCUGUCCCUUACGUAGUCUUCACUGGGCAGAGUUCGCGCGGAGGGACCGGUCUCCCCGACUUAGGACCGGUCCCCGAGGGCCUCUCUCGGGCGCACGCGUUCGGGAACCGGUCUCUCCCCGGGAGACCGGUCCUCGGGAGACCGAUCCUCGGGAGACCGGUCCUUGCCUGAGAGACCGGUCCCUGAGAGCUCGAUUUUCAGGACUUAGCCAAAUUUCAACAUUUCUCGCUGGGACCACGUUCGGGAACUGGUCCUUCCCUGCCAGGGACCGGUUGCACCAAGCAACCCCGCUACACCCAGCCGAUGGAACCGGUCUCUCACCUCCAGAGACCGGUCCCCGAGAGUAAUAUCAGCCCAAUGAUGCAGUUUGCAGCAUUUUCUCUCGUGGACUCAACUCCAAGGCACUCUUCGUGCUUUGGAUAUCUCCAACUUCCCCAAAGGGUAUUCUCUCGACAAAUAGUCGAUCCUGGACGAAGUACAACUCUCAAAUUUCGAGAAUUCACUUCCUUACAAUAUGGAACGCUUAUCUCGACAAAUCUGAAAUAGGCAAAUUGUAACAGGGUUACAAUCUCCAAAGAGAGAUGAAUUUAUGCUCAUGAAUGUUUUACAAAUAAGACUUACGUCACUAGCUUCUUUGUUAAAAUUAUAUUAUCGAUACUUAGGUUUAGAUUAGAGACCUAUUGGCGGUUUCACAAAAUUAAGGAAAAGUAGAAAAACAAUACUAUGGAUGAGAUGUGUAUUCGAUAAUAAAAUAUUUUCAAAGACAAGUAUUUGUAUAAGAGAGUUUAACUUAUCAUUGAUUCAAUACAAAAAUGAGUUUAAAAUUUAUCAUAUCCAAACCAUUUGGAAUGCCGCCUUCAUAUUUGCUUUAAAUUCAUCCCAAAUUCAAAUCCCUCCUGAUUUACUUCAAACAUAUAUCAUUAAUAGAUAUAACAUAUUAAUAGAAUAAAUAGAUUAAAAAAAUAUUUGUAUCUUCUGAUUUAUAUUAACGGCUGAAGGAUAAAUUUCGUAAAUAAGAUGGGAACAUCCACAAAUCUCUAAUAUAAACUAGAGAUCGUUGGCUACCAAUAGUAAUUCCUUUGCUUCCAAAUAAUUCAAUACUGAAAAAAAAAAAAUCACAUUAAAUUCAAUGUUUUGUUAUCAUCAAAAUCUUUAAGCCGUGAAGCUAACAUUUUUUAAGCAAAAAAUAGCUGAAAUAUUAUAGUACAAUAACUAAUAAUAUUGGAUCAAAAAGCUUUGCUCCUACAUCAAGAACAGAAUCACCAAUUAAGAAAUAAUGAUUGUGAUUCUACAUGGACACAUCUCAUAGUUUGUCUGUGAAGCUAUCUUUGAAUUUUGGAAUACAGUAUGUUUGGAGAAGUCAUUAUUAAAUUUUAGUAUAGAGAAUAUUUGGAGAAAGAGAUUAGGAUAGGAUUAGUGUCAAAAUAAUUAUAUCUACCAUUAGUCUGUUAUUUGGUGUAUAGGAUUGCAAGAAAGUUGCUUAACAAACAAUGAGAAAGUAUGCUAGAAAAAUAUCUUAUUUAUUUUCAUACAUAAUAUUACAUUCUACGUAUUGCUAAUGAAUCGGUUAUGAUAUAUUUUCUACAGUCCACCUAAAAAAAAUAGAAGCACAUUUCUAUAUGUUUCGCGGCAACUUUUAAUUUAUCUAUUAAUAUUAGACUAGUGCAAUGACCCGCGCGAUGCGGCUGGUAGAUAUUAGUACAGUCAAUUAUAUAUGCUUAUUCUUCUCCUGCUAAAAUAUUAUUGUAUAAUGAUGUAUUUUAUUUUUUCUUAAAAUAAAUUUUGAUUAGUUGUAAAGAAGGUGAAGAAUGUCUUAUAGAAUUACCUAGAAAAUAAGAUAGUAGAAAAAAAAAACAAAAUUAACUAAAAAUACAUAACAAAACUAACUAAAGAAGUAAAACUCUAAUACAUGUAGAAUAAAUCUUUUAGAGCAUAUAUUUAGAAAUAAAAAUAUUUGGAAAAAUAUAAUUUUUUUUUUCUUAGUUGUAACUAUGAUUCCAAAUAUAAUUUAUAAAGAGAUAUGUAUUUGUAUUAUAAUUAAAGUAAAUUAGAAAUAAUACUUGAGCUCAGAUAGUUUGAUUUUCAUCAGUGACUGUAGAAGGAUUAUAAUAAAUGUAAGAAUUGCCAUUAGACUACCAAACUUGCUUUAUUAUAAAUAACAUGAUUUACCCUAUUCUAAUAAAAAAAUUGAAAUAUCUAAUAAUACUUAUUAUUAUUUUAUUCGCUAGCUAUUCAGGCAUAGUAAAAAAAAUGUGCUAUAUAAAGAUGCGUACAUUCAUCCAAACGUUAUCUAAGUUAUUCAAUGAUCAGCAAGAAUUCCGGACCACUAUUUUCUUUUUUUUUUUAACAAAAGGACUUGGCAUUAAGUUUGUGGUUAAAACUUAUACAUGUAUAUCUAUGUCCAUAAAUACAUUUAUCUAUAUUUGAAUGUCGUAUGCAUUCACAGAAAAAGGGACUAUAUUUUGGAACAAAUAAAAUUUUAAACUACUAAGACAAUUUUCAAUUUGACUUUUGCAAUCGAUCAUUUAGUAGCAUGAAAGUUUUAAAUCAAGAUAUAAUCUUGAUAUCCAUCAAAACAUUCUACUAAUCAUAUAUUAUCUACAGUACAUCCUUAUAAAUAGGAAGGAAGCAUUAUAACAAAUAUAAAAGUUGGAUAGUAAGAAAAAUGAAUGGAGCUGAAACCUGCUAACUUUUCCAGACUUGCAAUUCUCUUUUCAUGCAAAUUUUUAAUUUUAACUAAUCGUUUUGAAUAUAUUUUCUGGUCAAAAAGGAAAAAUAUAAAUUUGCAUUAAAUUAUAAGAUAUCGCAAGCAUAUAAAUGACAAACUACCGUCAAUUCUCUCAAAAUAGCAUCCGGAUCUUACAAUUUAUUUUGCUUAUCUCUAGCCUUAUCUCCAGUAGUAUGCUUAUUUCCUAGGAUAUGAAAAAGUAAAAGAGUGCUUGGGUUUGCAUCCUUUCUUGCACUAAGGAAAGCCAAUUUACUAUUGCUUUCUUUCAACUCAGACAGUAGUUGCCAACUCCUCUAAACAAAAUUAUAAGAGAAAAAUAUCAAUAGCACAAAGUAUGCAUAAUGUGUGAGUGCUUCAGUAGAUGCUACCAAUUAAGCAUUCUAUAGUAUUAGAAAUUAAGUCGACAAAGGGCUUGGUGGUUGGUACCCGAGACCCAAGUUCGAAUCCUAGUUGAUUCACAUUUCUAGCUAAGUUUAUUUCUAAAUGAAAUAAAUGAAGCAGGUAGCGUGCUACCUAUCUCUCUAAAAAAAAAAAAGAAAUAAAGCCGACAGUGAAUGUGCACAUACAUUGCAUCCAGUGCAAAUGGUAGUACGAUCAAAAAGCUAUCAAGAAGGACGUCGCUGCUCCCUUCCACGCCCUCCAAUGCUGUAUCUACUGUUAAAAAAAAAAAAUCCCUACUAUUUUUAUGUCUAUCAAUAACUGGCCUUCAAAGUCUAUGCCUAUCUCUAUAUACUGUUGUAUAAUUUAUCUAUUAUUUGGUGGUAGUCUAGACUGCUAGCAAUUAUCAAGAGAAAAGAAAGAAAUAACCAUUUUACUAACUAUAUACAGUAACUUUCACAAAAACACAAGUAGAUAUAAAGAAAAUUGCAUAUAUAAAUGACUAUAUUUCUACAUCAUAGGGAUUAUAAGUUAUGUAUGUAGUAUCACAUUUAAUCAAAAUAGACAUCUAAUGCAAAAAAGGCAUAAUCAAAUCUAAUCAAAAUAGACAAAUAUAGACGUAAUAUUGUUAAUAUCACAUAGCAAGUUAAGUUUAUUUAAUAAAGUUGACGAUGUUGUUCAUGCUGUUGGCAUUACUGUUUCAGCCGAGGUUGAUGCUUAUUUUGUUAAAUAUGGCAAAAAAAUAAAAUUAUUAAAUAAAAAUCACAUGUAAAAAUAGUUUAAUAUAUCUUAAUAUAUUUUUUAAAAUAUAUAUAAUUAUAUAUAAAUAUAUAUUUAUAUGUAAAUAGAAAAAUCAAAAAAUUGAAUUAAUUUAAAAGAAAAGUAAGCCAAGCUAUUUUUUGUUAAAAAAAAUUAACAGGAGGAGGAUGAAGAAGUGUCUUUUCCAUCUUUAAAUUAAAGCUCUCCAAUUUCGUAAAGUGUAAAAAUAAACAUUUAUAUUAUAAUACCUAAUAACUUAUUUUUAUUUUUCAUUUGAAAUUUCAAGUUACAAAUAUGCAAAGUAGAAAAAGUCUAAAAGAUGCAGUUAUAGCAUCUGUACCAACAGAAGUACCACCAUUUCAAAAAGAAAUUUCAAUCUGAGAUCGAAAAAAGGCCGAUCUCGUAAUGGGGGAAAGAGGAGAAGAAGAAGCGAAGCCUGUAAACUAAAAGAACCUAUAUGAUUAAGUUCAUAAUACCUAAUAAUUUGUUUUUAUUUUUCAUUUGAAAUUUCAAGUUACAAAUAUGCAAAGUAGAAAAAGUCUAAAAGAUGCAGUCAAAGCAUCUGUACCAAUAGUAGUACCACCAUUUCAAAAAGAAAUUCCAAUCGAAGAUCAAAAAAAGGCCGAUCUCGGAAUGGGGGAAAGAGGAGAAGAAGAAGCAAAGCCUGUAAACUAAAAGAAACCUAUAUGAUUAAGUUCCUUAAAUUCUAAAAUUUAUUUAUCAGACCAAUAUAACAGAAUUAAAAAUCAUAAAAAAAAACCUAGAUAAUACUUGAAACUAAGAAUUUUAAACUGCAAGCAUAUUAAACAUUAGUUUUAAAAAAAUUUGAGAAAAAAAAGUGUCACGCCCCGGAUUACUCGUUUCCCCGGGCUCGCUAAUAGACCCGCCGUAUACAUAGGUAUUUUUCCUGUAUACGAAGCGAAAAAGUAGAAGUACCUGUAAGCAUACAAUACUACAAACAGUAGUAUAGAGCAGCUAGGAAAAAUAAACCAUAUAUAAAACUGUGGUUCAAUACAUACAUGUGAUCCAGGUACACAAAUACUCGCUCUGGCGAGAUAACAACAACUGUAUGUAAAGACCCAAAAAACUACAACUACCUGUAGCUGGUGUUCCUCUAGCUCUGCGACUCGACUCGAAGGGCUCUAAUUCGCGACGCCCUUGCCACGAUCAAGAUCAGCAACAGCAGCAGCCGAAGGCGACGGCUCUACAAAACAGUGGUAACAACUGGGCGUGAGAACUACUACAAAAAGAAGUAGUCCUCAGUGGGUACCGCCCUCGAACUCAUCGGUCCACCCACUAAGUCUACAGGGAUAAGCAGGAACAGUAAAGAAAACUGGAACAAAUCUACAGCUAUAUGCCACUAUACUAUCAUGCUUUAACUCUAACCCUCUGUAGAACAAUGUCAACUCAGACCCAAUCUCAAAUAAUGACUGUAAUCAUACCUGUCCCUGGGACUGUGAACACACCCGUCCCGCCCGGUUGCGACUAUACAGUUACCUCCACACUAACCAGUCCAUGGAGAGCAAGUCCAACCUACACGAACGACACCAACGCAAAAGCACAGCGCCCGUCUCCGGAGUGGCACUCGUGGGAGCUACCCAAUCGAGUAUGCAGCGUAUCUCUGUCGAGCUCAAUCAGGCUCUAACAAGCCAAAGUCAAGUAGCUAGGGUCAAAACAGGUCUAGAAACCAAACCCAUGUGCCCUCAGCACAAUCUGAAACCAAAAACAGAAAUCUGAGGUCAAUCUCGGAAUAGGGGAGAGAGGAGAAGAAGAAGCAAAAUUGCAAACUAAAAUAAACCUAUAUGAUUAAGUUCCUCAAAUUCCCAAGUUUAUUUUUUAGACCAAUGUAAAAUAAUUAAAAAUCGUAAAAAAAAAAAAACUUAGAUAAUACAUGAAACUAAGAAUUUUAAACCUCAAGUGUAUUAAACAUUCGUUUUUAAAAAAAAAUCAAGAAAAAAAGUGAGAAAUGAUAAAUUAUCUAAAACCUAACUUCGACUUCGUCGCAAGUGGAAAUGUGUUGUUUCGUUCGAUAUGAAGAGAGGCGGUUCGUCGCCGUGAGGUCGGAAAGGAGGAGAGGUGGUAGGCGAAGGAAGGGAUGGAGAGGGAGGAGAGGGGAGGGAAGAGGAGGGCGGCAGAGAGGAGAUGAAGGGACGCGUGCGAAAAAAUAGAUAAGGGUACGCGUGCAGGGAGUUUGAUAAGGGGAGCGCGGGGAGAUGAAUCGGUAGGAUAAUAAAGAGAGAGUAGAUUCACCAAUCAAAAAAAAGAGAAAACACUAAUAAAAUCUCAAAAAAAUAAUAUAAUGCCACAUCAGCAAUAAAUACAGGAAUUAAUUAUAGUUUAUAGAUUAUAGAUUUAUAGAUUAUAGAUAGGCCUCAAUAUCAUCUGAAAAUUUAUGACACUAUAACUGACAUUCAUAAAUUCUGUCAAAACCAUGUAUUUUUAAUCACGAAAAAAAAAUUAAGAACAUGUUUGGUUCAUAAAUAAAAUUAAAUUGCAUAGGAAUAAAAUUGAAAUGACGAAUAGUUUAAAAAUAUUUAAUUCAUUAUUACAAUGAAAAUUAGAAUGAACAAUUGACAUACCCAAAAUUUUGAGAGAAAGCUUUGGCUAAAAGAGGUGAAUGAAGAAAGAAGGGAAGCGCUUGUGAUACAGAACUUAAAAGGGGUCUACUCUGAAUGAACUGAUUCAUGAUUCAAAGUUAAUUUAGGACAUGAAUAGAUUGGACUAUUUUCAUUCAAGAGUAGAAUGAAAAUCGAAAUCCGAUUUUUAUAAAACAAACAAUAACUAUCAGAAUCAACAAAUCUCAUUCUGAUUUUGAAGUCUAAAAUAUGUAAAACAAACAUUCUGAUUUUGAAGUCUAAAAUAUGUGAAACAAACAAGUCCUAACAGUUGCCAUCCACUCACUCAAAAGUGUCCCCCAAAAGAAACAAAAAGAUUCAGAGAAAAAGAAGAGAUAGGUGUAUAACCUAAUCACAACAAACAAAUUAUGCUUUUCAGUUCCAAUUAAUAUGCUCUUGGACAUGUAGAAGAUACUAACAUGUACUACCAAAUUAAUCCGGACAUAAACCAAAAUUAAGGCUAGACCAUGUUUCUUGCACCUAUUCAAAACAUUAAGCACUAUUCCAUGAUCAGAAAACAAAGUUUUCUUUUUUCUUGAAUAUUAAGAUAAUGUAGCAGUUCAGGUAUAUACAGCUAAAUUCCUCAUUGUGAGAAGAGAAUUUGCUGGAAACAAGUUCAGUAAGCAAACAAAACAGUAAUCGCCAGCAACAGCUUCCGCAGGAAAUAGGAAUCCCCUUCUACACCGUUUAGGAGCGCUUGGGAGGAACAUAUUGCACAUUGUUGUCAGCGCAAACAGUCUGAAAUUAUAGCAGAAUAUACGGUUAUUACUUUCUAGAAAUACAUGAAAAGGCAUUGAUUACUGAGGGCGAACAAUUACGAUGAAAAAGCGAACCUGAUAUUCUUCAGGAAGUUCCUCAGAAACUGCAAGAGUGUAGCACCCAGGAAUAAACCUCCCUGUACAUGAUAAAAGAAGUAACAAAAGAUUCAAUUUUGUCUUUGAUUUUCUUUCCUCAAUUUUUACCAAAAUUGAACUCUUUUUUCCACCAGAAUGUACUUUGCUAUGGUCAGUAAUGAGUAUAACUGACAAGCAUGGUAUCAAAAGCUUUGACCUAAAGGCAUUGCAGGAUGUAAUCAACAAAUAUACGACUACAUUAUUUUUUUGCAAUAUAUCACAAUCUUAUUCAGAUCCAACACAAAUAUCACAAAAUUCACUCUAAUUACUCUUAUGAUUGUCAAAAGCUACAGUUUAGAUGCACGUACCAUAAUAACAGGUUCACAACUUUUGAAAGGGCAGCUAAAAUUAAGGUAUUCACAAAUAAGGAGGAAGAAUCGAGUAGUGUCAGUAUCAUGUCUAAACAGAGAUUUUCAUCUGAUGGCUUAUAUAAGAAAGAAGCAAAAUAGUAUAUAAAGAAGCAAUCGCUAUAUCUGCUAGGAAUAGGGUGUUAAGUUUAAUUUAGAACAAAGCAACGUUCCAAAAUAUACAAUGCGGUAUCCAUGCAACUCCCCACCGCAUAGCGCAUAUGCGGUAAUGCAAGCGCAUAUGUGGAUGCACAUGUGGUCUAACUAUUAAAGUAUUCAAAAAUAUUUAUAGGUAUUAAAAAUAUAUAUAAAUGCUUCCUAACAGAGCUAACUAACUAAAGUACUAAUUCAGAAUUCACAAAUUAAAAUAAUUAAUUUCAAGCAACAGACCUGAUAUACACACAUAUACCACUAAACUAAUAAUCAGCAAUUUACUCUUAAUUAUUAAAUAGAGAAACUGAUAUAAUUUCGACGCAAAUCAUAAAAAAUGUCAAACAAAAACCAAUAUUCUAAAAAGCACUAUGCUAAACUUUUAUUAUUAAUAGUAAUAAUUUUUUCAGUAAAGUAUCAUUCACGUCAUCUGACAAGACAACACUUAAAAAAUAUAUAUAAUAACAUGAAACAACUAAAAAAGUUUUUCACUAAUAUUUAUAAACACAUUUAUUAGAUAUUAGAAAUAAUACAUACUAAAAUGAGAAGAGAGAUAGUUAGGUUAUAUUUAUAUAAAGAUAAUUGGAUUUAUAUGCAUUAUUAUUAACUAAACUUAAAUGAAAAUAGAUAUACAUAUGUAUAAUCAUCAGCCAAACAAUCUCACUCAACAUUGCUUUGUAAUCCCAUCUAAAAAAAAAUUGUUGCAUAUGCAGCAGCAUAUGUGGUCACCUGCCACAUAUGUUGUCGCUACCACAUUGCAGCCGCGUAUCGGCGUAUGAGGUCGCCAGGCUCAUAUGAGGUCGCCUGCGGCAUAUGGGAUGUGUAUGCAGUCGAACCACAUAUUGCAGAGAUAUGUGGUGCGGUUGAUGGUCCGCACCGCAUAUGCGGCUGUUUGGAACAUUGAAACAAAGUUCAGAAGAAAUACUGAUGUUAGAUAUUCACUACUGGCUUUUAUCAAAUAUUCUUCCACCAUUAAUUUCACACACUUUUAAAAAGGACACAAGGAUUCAUCAGUGCUUAAAUGACACCCCUAAACCCUAAACCCUAAAAAUCAUACCCACCCAGCCCCGAAAAAAAAGAUUCUAUUUGUGACUUAUGGAAGUUUAGAUGCAUCCAGAUUAUUGUAAAUGCCUCCAUUUUGUGUAGUCAAUAAUAGAAAGGUAUUGGAAAAGCAGCUAAAAAUAAAUGAAAGCUUAUAAAACAAGAGCUGAUAAUAGGUAAUACAAGUCGCACUUAUAUCAAAAAUUUAAGAUGCAUAAAUUAGUCUAAAGUGGAUGGAAGAAUCAAAACUAAAUAGGACAAAAACAAGCACCAUAAAUUCUAUGACAUGUCUAAUAUCUGCCUACAUGACACCAAAAUGAAUCAAGAAGCUAUAUCUAACUUUUUACAAGAACGAAGUCCUCUCAGCAAAUACAGGACCUUUCAGUAAAAUCCCAAAUGUUUCCAUCCUUUAGCUACAGCUUUUCCCUUGGAUACAUUUUUGGAACACACUAUAUUACUAAAGAAAUUCAGUUCCUAACAAAUAAUUUUAAAAAUUUUAAAUUUAACUAGCAAGCAUAUGGUAAAAUCAAGAAAUACUAGGUGGAAAAAAAGAGUAUACAAGAGCUACAUCAAAAAUAUCACCGGAAGCCAACAAGAUCACCAUAGCUACUAGUAAAUUAUUUUGAUUCUUCUUAUUUUGUCUAAUUAUCGAUGUUCUGGAACUUCAACGCUCUGUUAAUUAGGAAAUUGUGGUCCGAAUCUAGUUUUUGGUGAAUUUGAUAAUUUGUGAUUUACAAUGGAACCUGUUUGAGAUAUAACUUUUAAUACUAUAAUAUUAUCCUUUCCAUGGUUUUGCAAUCUAACAUAUAUCAUGCCUUUUGACAUCCAGGACAAACAUAUAUACAGUUUAGAGUGGUCCACUAGCCCUACAGUCUUUUAGCUUUUUGGUAUUAAAGAUAUUAAACUGCACAUACUAGGGAAUAACAGUUGCUAGCAAAGAGUUCUAUAACCUGGACAGCUGGACAAAUGAUGAGCUGCUAGUUGGAGGUAGUUGCCUCCCAGCAUUUCCUUCCCUUCAUUUUCUUAAAACUCUUUGAAAUUGAUUAAAAUAUCUUAAUCUAACCAGUCAUAAAUACUGCACAAUGUGUAGAUGGGAUUUGAUUUAACUAUAGGUUAGAUUUCACUACUAGACGUAAAUAGUCGAGGUUUUCAGCUAUUAGGUGUAAAUCGUUGAGAAUUCAAAAUUUUGCUCAUUGAAGAAUAAAGAUUGAUCCCCCCCUCCGCCCCCCCCCCCCCCCCCUCUCUUUCUAAACAUUGAUUUGUUGGCGUUCCUCUCUCUCAUAGAAUCUUUCUUGCCGUAAAUUCCAUUUAUACCUUCUAGUUUCACAUGUAAAAAACUAUGAUUAUAGAUAAAUACACUUACACUGUUUAAAGUUUAGUAGAUAAAAAUCGAGUCAAUAACAGCAAGCCGAAGAAUAAAUAUGAUUGCUUCUCAUUGUAAGCCUUCUUCUUCCAAGUUAUAUUCUCUGCUAUUGAUCUAAGAGUCAAUUUAUAAUCUAUAUCCUCUGAAGAGACAGACUAGGUGAACAUCUAGAAGAACAAUGAAAUAACAAUUUCUCUAUUCUUUGACUUCUUUAUGAUCAUAGUCCUCUAUUUAUACUAUUAUCAUCAUAUAUAGAAAAUGCUUUCAUUAAAUACAUAUUCUUGUGACACCCAAUAAUCCCACAUCGGAUGAGAAGGGGUUUCAUUGGGUUAUAAAGACUUAGACACUAGUAAUAAUAACCGGCUAAAGCAAUUUUUGGCGCCAGGUUUGUUGGCCCAACGAUUUAUUGUUCUGGUAGGGCUGGUCUUACAGUUUGUAUCAAGCCUUCCAAACCAGCAUGACAUGUUGCGAGUCUCGCUGACAGUGGCGAUGACGGACUACGAGACCAGUCUCACAUAGCCUGGUGAUUGGCUGUGUGUGUUUGGACCGUGACGAGACGUCAAGUGGCUUAACGGGUGGAGUCUUACACCCAUUAAUCCCACACGAUGGAAUGGCUUGUCAUGGGUUUAUAAGAACUUAAACAACUAGUAAUAAUAAACUGGCUUAACAUUUGGGCCGGUUGUUGGGCCCAACGAGUUAUUGUUGCUAGUGGGCUGGGUCGUUACACUUGUGCCUCUUCUAAUAUGGUUGAGAAGAUGGUUGAGACUUGAGAAGCCUUGGAAUCGACGAAAGGAAGAUUGCAGAGUUGUGCAAUCUGCUUUGAAAUGUCUACCGAAAUGUCUACCAUAAAGGACUUUAAGGGUCUAUUUGGUUCCUCGAAAAAGUGUGAACAAAGGAUUUCCAAGAAAAAGAAUUUUUAUGGAAAACUCCUUUUCUAAUUUUUCGUCUGUUUGGUUUGAAGGAAAAUAAGCAUUUUUUAAUUUCCAUAUUUCAUGGAAAACUAGCACUUCCGGUUUUCGUAUUUUUUCUAGGAAAACAAAUACAGUAGUUUUCCAUAAAAUAUGAAAAAAAAAACGAUAAAAGCUCAUUUUUCUUAGAACCAAAUAGACGGAAAACUGAAAAAAUGGUUUUUCAUGGAAAACAUUUUUCUCAGAAAACUUUUUCCACUCUUUUCUGACUAACAAAACACCCCCUAAGGAUACAACAUCAUUUUGCUCCACAUACUAGACGCCACUUAACUGGUUCUCCAAACUGGCUUGAAGGGUUCACAAACAGAUUCUAGAGAGCUGAUUCAAGAAGCUAUUAUGGAUUCUCCGAAACUAGUUAAAACCAGUUUCGAAAAAGUUGGUUAACGGUCUCUAGUUAACUAGAUCAGUUUCAACCCUAUCAACAAGUAUAAAAGUUUCAUGGUUAUGUAGUGAUCCUUUCAAUACUUGCGAAUCACAUGAAUUUCAAUUUCUAUAUUAACUGAACUUACUAGAAUGAUUAUGAACAAGUUCUUAAACAUAACUAUUUAAUUAAGCCUAUAGAUAGUAUUCACAUACACUGCAAGGAAAGAUCCAAGCAUGUAACGUACACAAACAGAUUCUAUCGCCAAGUAUUAUAAGCAUAUGAUGUCUUUCAAAGUAAAACUGCCAAGGAAUAGAAGUUACACUAACCAAUUCUCAACCACCGAGCAGCCCAACUCCUGCUCGGAUCCAUUACUGAAAUUAUCCUGCAGAAAAAAUAGAUUCAACUUUUAAUGCUCGUCCCAACAUUUCAACUUGCGCUAAUUCUUUCUCUUGAUAGAGUUCUCUAACACGAUGCUUCAUAAAGAAAAUCUUACAUUAAUUAUCUCAGUAUUUCACGUAUUACAUAUACAAGGGCUCUCACAGGAAAGCAUGACCAUGCAAUGAUAGCACAAACAACAAUAAGAACAUACAUGAGAAAGCUCCACUUGGCCAUAAUAUUGAAAACCAAAAAUCAGUCUCUCACUGCCUUUUCCGAACUUUAAAAAUCGACACACAUAAGACUUCUUUAUUGGGCAUGAAGAAUCACGGCCCUAUCUAUAUUGUUUAAUUUAGUAGCUGGCUAUUUUUAAUGGAAAUAGCUGCUAGCAAAAAGAUUUUUAGAAUCUGUAUGCAUGUUGUGCCUAACUUUAUCUUCAUUAAGUCCUUUGUACUUGCAAAACUUUCUUCACAAAUUCAUAGCGCAAACAGGUUUUCUUUCUCCUAUGGAUUUGACAUUAUGAAUGUCGCAAUAACAGAAUGAAUCGAACUAUAAUUACAUCUUAAUUAAUACUCCACUUAAAUGCAAAUCAAUUGUUCUGAUUACCAAGCAGUUAUUGGUAACAUAUAGUACGUUUAUGACACUAAGGUUGAUGUUGAAGACAUCGAAGCAUAAAAUUUAAGAAGACCCACCCGGUAAAAUUUGGAGUGGUGCAAUUCACGACAUUGUCGUGCUCUUUAUCCAUCUCUAAGAAGGGGCAGUUCUCGCAACCCGAUUCCCUAAACUGCAUCAUAAGUGCAAUACAUAAGAUUUAUAAAAUACAAUAUCAGGCAAACAUAACAGCAACAACUGGAGGAGAAACAAAGGAAUAAAAUCACAAAGCAACAGCAAUUAAAACCUCCAAGUAAAACAUGGACAUUAAGCAAAUCAACAUCCAAAUUCAAGGCAUCUUUAAAAGCCUAAAAUGGCUACAACAAUGAGAUUCAGCAAAAAAAAUGAUGCCCGAUAUCUAGGAAUACCUCUACUCCUGCAGAAACUGGUAAUAUCAGCGUGUUCUCUCCCACGAAAUUAUUGCACGCACCUAGUGAACCGUGUACUAUUAUUCCUAAAAAACUAUUACAAAGGCCUUAAAUCAGAACUUAAUUCAUCGGAUGUGUUUUAUAGCAUUUAAAAGGCCUACAUAUAAAAAAUCAUGGGUAUUGAACGCGAACUUAGUAUGAAUCGAACAACAUCCUUUCGGUCCAUUCUGUACCAUUGAUUUUUUGGACUAUUUGAUGCCUAGGUUAUAGGUUCUCAAAACUUGUGAUUUUCUUUUAUAUAUAUUCAUAGACCUUUGACUGAGACAUUAAUCAUCAAAUAUCGAGUGCAAAGCAUGAGGAUCCAUACACCGGGUGGUAGGUUUUGAAAAGUUCUGGCUUCUUUUUCAAUAUACAUAAGCCCUGCAGAUGUUAUAUAAGUUGCAACCUGAGAAUAAAUUUUGAUUUUUAAACAUUACUCAUCCAAUAUAGAGUGCGAUGCAUGAGAAUAGAUGCACUGCGUGCAGGCAAUAACUUCUGUCCUCUCUCUUGAAGAAAGUCUAAAACCCUAGCUCUCCCCGAUAACCCUAGCUCUCGGAAACUAGAGAAAGGGGAGGACAGACAGACAGACAGACAGAAAGAGGAAGACAGACAGACAGACGGACCUGAUCGUAGGUCUUGACGAGACGGCAGCGGAGGCAAGCACGUAGCUCGUGGCCGAAGCUGGUGGGGAUCUGCGCGAACUGCGCCAUCCUGUCAUCGUCGCCCAUGUAGUCGCCCCUCUUCCCACUUCCCAUGGAUUUAGGCCCUCUCUACCUCUCCCCUCUGCUCGCUCGCUCGCUCGCUCGCGCGCCACUUCCGUUCUUCUCAAUGUCGGUGCUGCGAAAAUGGUCGGCCGACGGGAGGCCAGGCUUGCUCCUCCUCGUUGUGUGGGGCUCAAACUGCGGCUCGCCUGUUGUAGGCGUAAUUGGUUUUUCGGUUGCCGGACUGUCUACUUGGGCUCGAUGUUCGUAAAUAGCCGCUUUGAACUACUAUUGUCUUUCAUAUAUAUAUAUAUAUAUAUAUAUAUAUUUUUUAAAAAAAUUAAUUAUUAUUAUUCAACUCAAGCAGAUAAUUAGCAUAGUAACAUUAUUAUUAGGGGUUUUUUUGCAAAUGGCCUCCUAGGAAAAUUUUAUUUUAAAAUUAGCCCUAACAAAUUUAUAAUUGCAAAAAUGNCAAGCCCUAACAAAUUUAUAAUUAUAAAAAUGGCCCUACCUCUGCCACGCAGGCGCCACGUAGUCGGGCUGGGAGGCUGCAUGGCAAGUUGAAUAUGGUGAAUUAUUCACCGUAUUCAAACACGGUGAAUGGUUUAGCGUGUUUCAUAUUUAUAUUUCCCUUCUUCUUCCUUACUAGGGAUGUCAAUCCUGCGGGUUUUAAAAAUCCAUACCGUUGGAUGAAAAUAUAAGGGAUAAAAAUUAUUAAAUAUUUUAUAUAUUGUAUAAAUAAAUAAAAAUAAAUUAUGUAUAUAUAUAUAAUUUAUUCGGGUUUGGGUUCGGAUAAUAUUUCGGGUAUCCAUACCCAUUGACAUCCCUACUCAUUUGUAUUUUCUUUAGACACGGUAAACCAUUUACCGUGUUUGGACACGGUGAAUGGUUCACCGUGUUCAACUUAACACCCUGACACUAGCUCCGCUCGCGUGGCGCUGACGUUGCGUCUGCGUGCCAGGGUCAGGGCCAAAAGUGCAAAUAUAAAUUUGCUGGGGUAAUUUUUUAAAUAAAUUUUUUCUAGGGGGCUAGAUGCAAAAAAAGCCCUUAUUAUUAUAAAUUAUUAGAUAAUAAAAAUAUUAAAUUAUUAUAAAUUAUGAGGUAUUCUCGUUAUGAAAAUGGUCUAUUGAUAAAAAUAUAUAUUAGUCCAUAACAAUCUCUCACUCAAAGUUAUAAACUAUUUGGACGACUUCAUUGUAAAAGUGCUAAAGGUUAUUAACAAGAGACUGAUAUUUGCCAGAGCAAAAAUUUUUAGAGAUGACGCAGCUAUAAAUUUUUUUCUCCACUUUUUUUUUGUAUCUUUAGGUACCGUUUGGUUUGAGAACAAGUUAUUUUUGUUUAUUUUUUGGAUAGUUAUAGCUUCUGGUAUAGGUAGGAAUUAAUUCAAUUAUGUGUUUGAACGAGAAUUGAAAUAUCUAUAAACCUAUAUGAAGCCACAAUACUUCUUGCCACGUGGCAUAUUAUCCUUCAUUCUCAUUACCCAACCUUAAAUCAAACCACAACUCUUCACCUCCCCGCUUCUCUAAUUAAUGCAAGGUGCAACAUUUAAUUAUAUGCAACUUUAAAUCCAACUUUAAAUCAAACCUUCGUUAGUAAAUUCGCGAAUAAUUCGCGAAUUAUUCGCAAAUUUUUGGAGAAACGAAUUAAUCACCCGUUUACGUAUUUUUCCCAAAAAUUCGGAAAAAAACGUAUUUUUUUCGUCAAAUAUACUGAUUCGCGAAUUAUACGCCCGAAAAAUUCGAUGCUGGGUCUCGAGCGGGCCUCGUGGGUCGUCGGCUCGUCGCUAACCCAAAAAAAAAAAAAAAAAAAAAAAAAAAAAAAAACGCAGAACGCCCGCCUCGCCCAAAAUAGGGGAAAAAAAAAACUUUCGAAAUUCGAAUCGCCUCCCUCGCUCUCCCCAAAACGAAGGUUUUGCCCUAACUUUCUUACCCCUGUCGCCUACCACCGACCCCAGCACCGAUCCCUUUCCUUCCUUCUCUUCCCUUCUGGCCAUUCGCCGAAUGCCAUCGGAAGCCCCCGCGUGGCCACAUCGAAGAUCAAUUUCUUCACUAUUCCGAAAUCAGAACUCUCCAGUCCUUCCUUCCUCAACGAGUCCGCCCGACCUCGCCUACACCCCCGCGCCCCGCCCGACCUCGCCUACGCCUGCGCCGCCGCCACGUCUGCGCAGCUGCGUCUGUGCCGCCGCGUCUGCACCGUCGCGUCUGCGCCGUCUCCGCCCACCUCCUCGCCCCGCCCCUCCUCUCCCUCCUCCUCCUCGGCCUCUCCCAGGCUCUCAGCUUAGAGGUAACCUCUUCGCCCCUCUCCUCUUCUAAUCUCCGAUACCUUUCGCCGCUACUCCGAUCCGGUAAAGGACGCCGUCCUCACCUUGUCCAAUGCUUAAAAUACAGUGAGAAGGUGCAAAUCAGUUGAUUUAUACAUGUUUUCUUCUACUUUUCUUCUACUUUUCUUUUUCCCCCUCUAGUACAAUAAACAAACAAAAUAAUUUGACUUUCAGUAAAAUAAACAAAAAAAAAAUCCAUAAAAAAUACCUGGCCAGUAUUUGUAUUAUAGUAAAACUUGUUUGGAUCCAAAGAAUCUAUUUCAUUGAAUAGUAAUCUAUAUACUAAAAAAAAGAAAAGCUCUGUCUCUAUCUUUCUCAUUCAUAUGGUAAAAAAAACUUGAUUAAAAAGAGGAGUAGGUAACUAGGUAUCUAUUAUUGCAUAUUAUUAUAUCUCAUAACAGCCAAAAAAUGUAAGAGGUUGAUGAAGGGGACAAGCAUAUUACUAUAUCUCAUAAUACCCUGUUCAUUUCUUUACAAACCAGGGACGAAUAAGAGUUUGAAGAUUUCCUGCUCUUAAUAUUUGUCUUAGAUUGUGUCAAGCUCCCAAGAUUUCUUGCUCCCAACCAUCGGAAUCCCCCGUGAGGCCGAGCACCACUCGCAAUCUCCUUCUAAGUUCCGCAGUUCCAUUUUAUCUGGUACAAAACUACAAAUUUAUAGUUUUUAUAAAUAUGAUUGGAAUUAAUAUUUGCUAUUAUAUGCAUGUUAAGUGGCUGUUAUAUGAAUGUUAAGUGCUAUUAUAUGCAUGUUACGUUGAUGUUACUUGUUACGUUCAUUAAUUUGAUUGUUGUUGUACUUGUAUGAAGACUCAGAGCCAAUGAAGUGGAAUUUAUUACUUAAGAGUUAGGUUAUGCUUGAUGCAUGAUUGAUGAGUAAUUCUAAUAUUUUUUUGUUGUGAUUUUAUUUUUUCGAGAAUCCAUGAUAGGCAGUCAUGUGAUAGAGCUUGAAAUAUUUGAGUCAUUAAUUUUUUUAUGCAGAAAAAUGGUUCGAAAGAAAGAUAGGUUUUGGAUUCACUCGGAAGAAUUGAGUGAAAAAUUUAAGUGCAAAUAUUGUUCUAAAGUGUACUCGGGUGGUGUCGCAAGACUCAAAUCCCACUUAUCUCAAGUUUCAGGACGUGAUAUUGAAACAUGUGAUAAAGUACCACCAGAUGUACAACCAGAAGCAUUUAUAGCUGUAUGUGGAGAUUCUAGCAAAAGAGCUAAGAGUAUUGGAAGUACAAAUGUCAAUGAGUCUGGAGAAAGUAUUGCAGUUUCUGGUUCUAGAUCAUUUGGAAGAACUAAUCAAAUGACAAUGCAGGAAGUUUACAAGAAAAAGAACAAAGAAGAAGUUGAUCAGUCUCUUGCUAAGUUUUUUAUAAUGAAUAACAUUUCUUUUAAUGUUGUUCAGUCAGCGUUAUUCCUUGACCUUAUAAAAGAUGUUGCGAAUUAUGGCUCUGGCUAUAAAGUACCAUCAUAUUCAACACUACGAAUAAAAUUGAUUACAAAUGAAAAAAAGGAAGCCGAGACAUAUGUUGGAAAGGUGAAAUCCUCAUGGCAUUUGAGUGGUUGCACCAUUAUGUCAGAUGGUUGGACUGACUUGAAAGGAAAAGCAUUCACUAAUGUCAUUGCAUAUUCACCUGGAGGUGCGAUUUUUAUGAACUCUUUUGAAUGCUCAAAGGAGAGAAAAACUGCUAUGUAUCUUAAAGAUAUUUUAUCAUCUGUAAUUGAAGAUAUUAGGCCAGAUAAUGUUGUCCAACUAAUCACUGACAAUGGUAGUAAUUUUCUAGUAGCAGACGACAUGCUUUUGGGAAAGUAUCCAAGAAUGUACAAAACACGAUGUGUGACACAUGGCUUACAAUUACUCUUAAAAGAUAUAUAUAAGAAUGUUGAAUGGGUGCGAAUCGUGAUUGAUGAGGCGAGGUUGAUUGAAAAUCAUAUGUACAAGCACACCGUUCUCUUGGCAUUGAUGCGAGAAGCUACUCACAAAGAAUUAAAGCAUCCAUGUGCUACAAGAUUUGCUUCAAAUUUUCUUGUGUUGCAAUCACUUGUGGAUGUUGAGAAUGAAUUAAGGCUUUUUGUUGCUUCUGCUGAAUGGAGAGAAAGUAACUUAAACAAAAGUCGGCAAGCAAAGAAAGUAACUGAGCUAGUCCAAAAUAAUGAAUUUUGGAAUAGAGCAAAGGAGGUCCUACAAGCUUUAGAGCCUAUUGUUCGAGUCCUACGUUUAGUUGAUGGUGAGGGAUCUACUUCUGGAUACUUAUAUGAUGCUAUGGAAAGAGCCAAAGAAGCAAUCAAGUGUCGCUUGGGUAAUAAUCAAAAUAAAUUUAUGCGCAUAUGGGAUUUAUUUGAUGAAAGAAGAAAUGGAAAUAUUAUACAUCCUAUACAUGCAGCUGCAGCUCUUCUGAAUCCAGCUUAUAUGUGUCGUGAAGGGUUUAGAGAAAGUCGAGAGAUGAAAGAUGGCAUAGAUUUCAUGUUUGAGAAUCUAAUUCUGCCAGAGGAGAAAGAAGAUUUUUUAAAACAAGUACAACAUUAUCGUUCUAGAUCAACUUUAAUUUUCAAUUCUACGGCGUUGAUGAUGUUAAAAACCUCACAUCCUCGUAAGUUAUGUUCUUUUUAAACUUCUGUAUAAUUUUCUUUAAAUAUCAUUAACUAUUUUUUGUUCUUCAUUACAUGAGUUUGGUAGGAUUAUUGUGGUGAUCCACUUCCAGUGCUAAGAAAAUAUGCAGUUCGUAUUUUAAGCCAACCAUGUAGUUCUUCAUCUUGUAAGAGAAAUUGGAGUGCCUAUGAAACAGCACAAACAAAGAAAAGAAAUAGAUUAUCUUCGGAAAUGUUAGAUAAUCUUGUUUAUACUAGAAUGAAUACAUUAGCAAUGAAAAAGUGGUCCACUUUGGAAUCACAAGAUUUGGAGCCUAUUGAUUUAGAAAAACUUCAUGAACUUUCGGAGUAUAUAGAUAAUGGAAAAGGUGGAGAUGGAGACGACGGCGAAGAAAUUGAAGAAAAUUCAUUAACUAACCUCGACCUUUUGUGGUUAAAUCAAGAGUCGGAGUUCGUUGAUUAUAAUUACUAAAACUUUCUAUGUUGUAUGCUUUAUGUUUAUUCAAGCUUUUAUAUAUGCUUAUAUGUGGAAUUGUGAACUUUAUAUAGUUUUUAUUUGCUUACUGUUUAGACUUUAGAUAUGCUAGUAUGCACUAUGCAAAGUGCAAGUUUUAUCUUGUAUUUUGUUUUCAACUAUGCUUUAUGUGAACCUUCUAUGUAAUGAACCUUCUAUGUAGUUUCCAACUAUGUGAACCUUCUAUAUACUAAACCUUCUAUGUGAACCUUCUAUGUAUUUAGUUUUCCACUAUGCUUGUAUGUGAACCUUCUAUGUUUUAUAUGUUUUAUUUAGUUUCCAGCUAUGUAGUUUCCAACUAUGCUUGUAUGUGAAUCUUCUAUGUUUUAUAUGUUUUAUAUAGUUUCCAACUAUCUUGCUAUUUUUUUUUACUUAAUUAGCUUAAUUUUGUAGCUCUUUAUUCUUUUAUUCUUAAGAAAUAUGAGUAUUUAUGCUAAUAGCAUAAAUUUUGAGAGAAAAAAAACUUAAUUUAAUAGCCGAAUUUUUGAUCCCGAAUUUUUAAUUGGCGAACGUAUAAUAUCCGUAUAAAUCACGUAUCCGAAUAAUUGGCGAGUCCGUUUUUUAGCCGUAUUUUUCAAUAAAUUUAAAAAUUAGAAGACGAAUUUUAUCCGAAUUAUACCCGUACCGAAUUUUUGCCGAAUCCGAAUUUACUAACUAUGAAUCAAACCACAUUCUCCUCUUCUCAACGCCGAACCCUUCACCUCCCCACUAAUCUAAUUACAUGCAAUGUGCAACAUUUAAUUACAUGCACCAUAUUAAUAUUCUAUCAAUGAGUAGGCUUUAUAACUUUAAUCCACUCCCCUCCUCCAUUAAUCUCCUUUUUUUUGAGAGAGAUAGGUAGCACGCUACAGGCUUCGUUUAUUUCAUUUAGAAAUAAACUUAGCUGGAAAUGUGAAUCAACUAGGAUUCGAACUUGGGUCUCGGGUACCAACCACCAAGCCCUUUGCCACUUGCUCUAGGGACGGUCGGUCUCCUCUACACCCUCUCUUUUGUAACUCUUUUGUAUGCACCAUAAAAAAAACAUCAUUGUCUAAUCUCCCACUCCACACUCAUCUCUCUCUUUCUCUCAUUGUGUUAACGAAGAUUAUGAGAAAGAGGAAGAAGAAGAAGAGCCUCUGAAGAACACUGUUUCCUUCGAGAAGUAUCGUCCCGCGAAACCGAGCCGCGACCCAUUGUAAAUAUAAAUUUUAUUAAAAUUUUUAAACUUUGCUACUUUGCUUCUAUUAACUACCCGCUGCAUCACGCGGGUCUCUACACUAGUUUAAAAGAAUAAGAAAAGUUAUGUUUGGUUGAUUGGGUUGGAAUAGUAGAGAUUUAGAAGAAUAAGAAAAGUCACAUUUGGUUGAUUGGGUUGGAAUAGGUUGGUUGAUUGGGUUGGAAUAGUAGGGAUUUAUACGAAUAAGAAAAAUUACAUUUGGUUGAUUGGGUUAGAAUAAUAGGGAUAAGCGUAAUUACGAUUGAAAAUAAAAAUAAUUUAUCUAAAUAAUAAGCAUCUAAGUAUUAGUAAAAUAAUAUUUUAUUAAGUUAAUAAAUAAAUUAAUCAAAAUUAUUUUAUAAAUUAAUUAAAAUUACUAUAUGAGAUAACAAAAAUCAUUUAGUAAAUAACUAUAUGAGAUAAAAAAUAAGUCAAUAUGUUAAUAUUAAUUAAUUAAUUAUUUAUUUAUUUUAGUUAAUAUGUUAAUUAUAUAAAUUAAAAUACUAAUUAUUUAAAUAAUAUAGAUGUUAGUUAAUGAUUGAAUAAGCAUAUCAUAUGGCUAACUAUUUAAUUAGAUAAAUAAUAAUAAAUUAUAAAAUAAAUAUUUAUUAAUUUAAUAAGUUAAAUAAUUAAUUAGUUAAUUAUUUAAAAAAAUUAAUUGCAUUAAUUAAUUAUAACUUAUAAUUGUUUAUAACUUAAUUAAUAUAUUGGAACUACUAUGCUCCCUUUUAACAGGUUAUUCCGGAGUAACCCGUUAAGAGGGGAAUAGUAGUUCUUGGCAAUUUUUAGCACCGUUUGAAAGAAUAAGAGGAAUAAAUUCCUUAUUCUUUCUUUAUCCUUUGAGCCAAACAUAAUUUUUAGGUUAUCCAACACUAUUUUUUAUUUACUUAUUAUACCUUACCAGAGAACGACAAACCCUAUAGCCUUCUUUUAGGCUCCUAUGUCUUCCUCUUCAAAACUAAAUUUUCAAUAAAGGAUAUUAUCAAAUCUUCAUAAAAAUUUUCUGAAUAUAAAGUGUCACAUUUCGUGUGAGACCCCAUAUAGUCCUAUAUAUGAGGUAUAAUAGGGCUAGAACUCUUAACCCGGCUUAAUCAUUUUGGGUAGCGGCUAGGCACAAGAGUUUAAGAGAUCGCGUGCUAGGACGGGAGUAGUCCUAGGAUGAAUGACUCCCUGGAAAGUUGGGGCGUCAUAGUUGGUAUCAGAGCCAAUUACCAGCCGGAAGUGUGAGAUGAAGUACUUGUAAGUCUGAGCCUGACGAGUACGUCAGGGCUUAAAAAAAGGGGGGGGAGAUUGUGAGACCCUAUAUAGUCCUACAUAUGAGAUAUAAUAUGACUAUAACUCUUAACCCAGCUUAAGCAUUUUGGGUGGUAGUUAGGCUCAAAAGGUUAAGAGAGUUAAACGUGCUAGGACGGGAGUAGUCCUAGGAUGGGUGACCCCCUGGGAAGUUGGGGCGUCACAUUUCGUUAUUUUUUGACUAUUGUUACUUCGUGCGACAAAAAUCACCGAGUAAGCAAAUUUUGCUUUUAUUUAGACAAAAUAAUUUAAUACUUUAAGUAGUUUAUAGAAUCGUGUACAAUGCCCAGGCAAAAAUUCAUCAUAAAAAUUUGACUAGUGAAACUAUGGUUCAAGCUUUAUAUGAAGAAAUUGGUAAAGAUGACUUUACAUAUAAUAUCAUGUAUAAUCAAGAUGGUCGUUUUACACACUUUUUUUUUGCACAUUCUAUUUUAAUUAUGUUAACUAAGAACUUCUC